Molecule: long non-coding RNA, 58969 nt
Filed under: Triticum aestivum (bread wheat)
Lineage: Eukaryota; Viridiplantae; Streptophyta; Magnoliopsida; Poales; Poaceae
Description: long non-coding RNA (TAES_LNC021481)
Rfam family: MIR1120/MIR1122 microRNA precursor family (bases 26160-26290)
Source: RNAcentral
AAAAAUAAAAGAAUAUACUCAUUAGAGAAAGAAAUCAUAUAUUGGAUAAAGCUGUUGGAUUACAAUGGUUGAUAUUACAAGGGAAACAUCAUCGAAAUGUGAUGCAUAACCUAAAUAUUUUCUUGACAGCGAAACUUACAUAAAAAGCAUCCUUCAACAUCCCUACAACUUAACUAAACUUAACCGGGGAACACCAUCCGACAGAAACAUCAUCCCUACAACUUAACUAAAACUGAUAGCAUCCAUCAUCAUCAUCAUGGACCGGAACAUCAUUAUCAUCAUGAAACGGAACAUCAUCAUCAUUGCAAUAUACUUGCCACGCACCAUUAUAAUCAUCCAUAUAUCUUUUGAAUCUACAAAGAAAAUAACAAAAUGAACUGUUAAUACACAAUGCAUUGACAUGAUGAAUGUAGUGAUAGAGGCAGCAGGAUGUUAGGCACGUACGUACAAAGGUUGAAGGCUAUGCAAUCUUCUUUUUUCUGCAUUAUCGAGAGUAUUGCAGCUUUUGCGACUCCGUACCGAAUCUUCAGUUUUCACAAGUGCCAUAUCGACAUGCACUACCAAGAAUUCAUUUGUAAUUUUAGCAUCAUCAAGUUUAAAUUUAGGAUCACAACUUACAACUAUAGCAAGAGCUACGUCCCUAUUAUGAUUGUGAAAAGAUACCGGCAUGAGUGUUAGUUGUCAUUGAUGACUAAUCACGACGCCACAAUAUAUGACACAGCCUGCAGAAAAACAUGGCUUAAUAAAAUUAUAUGGAGAGUAGCCUAAGUGCUGAUGUGCAUUCAAGGGCAAUUGUGAGUGACAGUACCACUUCUUUUCUCUUCUCCAUUUAGUUAGCAAACUGAACUAAAAAGGUUUUAGUGAUCUGAAACCAAAACAUUUAGCUCUAGUUGGUUUCAGUCAUCCAACAGGAAACAAACAAACCUAAAGGUGCUCACCACGCUUUGGAACAAAACUACAGCCUCAAAUCCACUGAAACGAAUUUACAUAGUUAUCACCAGCCUAGAGAUCCAUUGCUAAUUCUGUACACCUACAGUCAAACUGUUUUGUGUGAACCAACAGAAUUAUUUAUUACUAAAUAAAUUCACUGACCUACAGCCCCAAAUGCUAUAAAUUGGCAUGGACAGCAGCAUAGAACCUAGCACGGCUCAAUGGUCGUGGACACAUUGAGCAGUACCAUGGUAGGGAGAGGGAGAGAGUAUACCUUCCAUGGCAUCGUCCAUGACUUGCUCCACGAACUCGACUUGCUCCAUGGAGUCGCCGUACAUCGAGUUGGUGCGUGUAGCUUCAAAACCAAGGGAAAAAGGUUACAGGUGUCUCAUGCAUCUCUAGAACAGUGCAAAAGAAGUAAACUUCAUCAAGAUCAAUCCGUACAUAAUAAAAGAAGAGCAACCUAUCCUGUUCUAUAUGUACUAGUUACUACCUUGGCAACUUUACAUCUGGCUAAAUGAAUUUAUCCCUGAGUUAGCUAGACUAGUCAUUAAGCCGUGCUUCUGCAUAGGCUAGACAGUUUUAGUUUACCAUAUAUAACUGGAACAUAUUUAUGUGAUAAAAAAAUAUUAGAACCAUAAAUUUUAAAAGAAGCAUACUUUUGACUAACUGAGAAAUAUUACAUGUGAUAUUGUGUUGGCUUCCAUGUGGCUAAAGUAAAUUUAAUUUUAGUGAAGGCAUUUGUACAUACUAUUUAUCAUUCCUAUAAAUAAAGUUUCCAAAUUAUAAUUUGUAUGAAAAAGUCAGGAACCUAAGGCUAGAAAAUAUACAGAGGAUAUUGGUGAAUGUUCUGAUUUCCUUUAAUUACAUAGCAGGAGUCUAAAUCUUGUGUGCUCCUAAUAUUAGCUAUAUGGAAACCCCAAAUGCAUCCCAUGCUUUAGUGAUUUCGGUUCAGAAAAGGAAACCACAGUUUCUAGUUAACAAACAAAACUAAAGCUGAUGUACAUGAAUAUCUGUCUUGUAUAUAUGCAAGGCGUCAUUAAGAAAUGUUUUCUGAAAUAAACACGUACAUCAUUCAAAUAUUCUACAUAAGAUACACAUCAAAUGAUCAUGUUAAGCCACCUAUAAACAUCAAAGUGAUCGAAAUGCUUGCUGGAGGCAGAAGCAGCGGCGAAGCCAGCCUCGGGGAUCUGUGGGGUCAGUGGUAAUUUUGUUGAUUAUUUUUUUCACAAUGAACAGUAAUUGUACAGUGUUUUACGGCUGUUUUUCACAAAAGUUAUGGGGUCAGCUGACCCCACAGCUUACACAUAGCUUCGCCACUGGGCAGAAGUGCAGCACUAUUGUUUGGAACUUUGAUUAUGUGGUGCUGCUCGAGGUGAUCAGAACUGCAGACCACCCCAACUGGAUGCUUUCCUUUCACUCCCUGCAACACAAUCGAGUCAAGAGGAGUACUCAUCAAUACACGCGUACAAAACAUAUUUUUUUCUAGAUAAAAAAAUAGUGAUCAAGUCAAUUGCAUAGUUUUUUCUUCUGUUAUGACCUUAAAGGGUGGAGAAUAGAAAACGAAUCGCCACACGGCCAGUUCCAUCACUCAACAGCCUUGGCGCCAAAGACGCUUGCGGCCGCCUAAUCUGCUUCAAACUACCAUUGCUACACCUCCGCCGCCACAUGGACUAUCGUUAGAUUUAUUUAGUAAUUAGCCUAAAAGAACAUAUGUUGGAUUUUUGCAUUGUAAAAUCCUUAAUAGUACGUAGAAUAUUAUAGAUUGCAAAAGAAAAGGAUUGGGGCCUUGGGGAAUACUGUAAUUAGACUCCGACCUGAUUCCUAACCAUAUACUGUUUUCUGUACAAAUUACCUCAACCACACUGGUUGCUGCUCCAAGACGUAGAUGGGCUUCAGAAUAGCUUACUAGAAAGACAAUCGUUCCCUACAAUUAGACUCCGACCUGAUUCCUAACCAUAUACCUGGUGUUGGGGAAUACUGUAAUUAGACUCCGACCUGAUUCCUAACCAUAUACCUGGUGUUGGGGAACGUAGCAGAAAUUCAAAAUUUUCCUACGUGUCACCAAGAUCUAUCUAUAGAGAGACUAGCAACGAGGGGAAGGAGAGUGCAUCUACAUACCCUUGUAGAUCGCUAAGCGGAAGCGUUCAAGUGAACGGGGUUGAUGAAGUCGUACUUGUCGUGAUUCAAAUCACCGAUGAUCAAGUGCCGAACGCACGGCACCUCCGCGUUCAACACACGUACAGCCCGGUGACGUCUCUCAUGCCUUGAUCCAGCAAGGAGAGAGGGAGAGGUUGAUGAAGAUUCAGCAGCACGACGGCGUGGUGGUGGAUGCAGGGCGUCACAGUAGCAGGGCUUCGCCUAUACUACGAGAGAGAGACGUAACGGGGAGAGGGGGAAGCACCAAAGGCUUAGGUAUGAAAUCCAUCCUCUCCCCCACUAUAUAUAGGAGGGCCAAGGGGGGGGUGGUGCGCAGCCUAGGAGAUCCAAUCUCCUAGGUGCGGCGGCCAGGGGAGGUUUCCCUCCCCCCCAAGGCACUUAGGGGUGCCUUCCACUAGUGGGACUCCUCCCCAUGGAAACCCUAGGCGCAUGGGCCUAUAGGGGCUGGUGCCCUUGGCCCAUAUAGGCCAAGGCGCACUCCCUACAGCCCAUGUGCCCCCCCGGGACAGGUGGCCCCACCCGGUGGGCCCCCGGGACCCCUCCGGUGGUCCCGGUACAAUACCGAUAACCCCGAAACUUGUCCCGAUGGCCGAAACAUCACUUCCUAUAUAUAAUUCUUUACUUCCGGACCAUUCCGGAACUCCUCGUGACGUCCGGGAUCUCAUCCAGGACUCCGAACAACUUUCGGGUUACUGCAUACACAUAUCUUCAUAACCCUAGCGUCACCGAACCUUAAGUGUGUAGACCCUACGGGUUCGGGAGACAUGCAGACAUGACCGAGACGUUCUCCGGUCAAUAACCAACAGCGGGAUCUGGAUACCCAUGAUGGCUCCCACAUGUUCCACGAUGAUCUCAUCGGAUGAACCAUGAUGUCAAGGACUUAAUCAAUCUCGUAUUCAAUUCCCUUUGUCUAUCGGUAUGUUACUUGCCCGAGAUUCGAUCGUCGGUAUCCAAUACCUUGUUCAAUCUCGUUACCGGCAAGUCACUUUACUCGUUCCGUAACACAUCAUCCCGUGAUCAACUCCUUGGUCACAUUGCGCAUAUGAUGAUGUCCUACCGAGUGGGCCCAGAGAUACCUCUCCGUUUACACGGAGUGACAAAUCCCAGUCUCGAUCCGCAUAAAACAAUAGAUACUUUCAGAGAUACCUGUAGUGCACCUUUAUAGUCACCCAGUUACGUUGUGACGUUUGAUACACCCAAAGCACUCCUACGGUAUCCAGGAGUUACACGCUCUCAUGGUCGAAGGAAGAGAUACUUGACAUUGGCAAAGCUCUAGCAAAUGAACUACACGAUCUUUGUGCUAGGCUUAGGAUUUGGGUCUUGUCCAUCACAUGAUUCUCCUAAUGAUGUGAUCCCGUUAUCAACGACAUCCAAUGUCCAUGGUCAGGAAACCGUAACCAUCUAUUGAUCAACGAGCUAGUCAACUAGAGGCUUACUAGGGACAUAGUUGUGGUCUAUGUAUUCACACGUGUAUUAUGAUUUCCGGUUAAUACAGUUAUAGCAUGAAUAAAAGACAAUUAUCAUGAACAAGGAAAUAUAAUAAUAACUAAUUUAUUAUUGACUCUAGGGCAUAUUUCCAACAGUCUCCCACUUGCACUAGAGUCAAUAAUCUAGUUCACAUCACCAUGUGAUUAACACUCACAGGUCACAUCGCCAUGUGACUAAUACCCAAGAGUUUACUAGAGUCAGUAGUCUAGUCCACAUCACUAUGUGAUUAACACUCAAUAAGUUUUAUGUUUGAUCAUGUUGCUUGUGAGAGAGGUUUUAGUCAACGGGUCCGAACCUUUCAGAUCCGUGUGUGCUUUACAAAUCUCUAUGUCAUUUCCUAGAUGUAGCUACCACGCUCUAUUUGGAGCUAUUCCAAAUAACUGUUCUACUUGGAGCUAUUCUAAAUUGUUUCUCCAUUAUACGUAUCCGGUAUCUCUACUCAGAGCUAUCCAGAUAGGUGUCAAGCUUGCAUCGACGUAACCCUUUACGACGAACUCUUUUUACCACCUCCAUAACCGAGAAAAAUUCCUUAGUCCGCUAGUUACUAAGGAUAACUUUGACCGCUGUCCUAUGAUCCAUUUUUGGAUCACUCUUGUACCCCUUGACUGACUCAUGGCAAGGCACACUUCAGGUGCGGUACACAGCAUAGCAUACUGUAGAGCCUACGUCUUAAGCAUAGGGGACGACCUUCGUCCUUUUUCUCUAUUCUGCCGUGGUCGAGCUUUAAGUCUUAACUUCAUACCUUACAACUCAGUCAAGAACUCCUUCUUUGACCGAUCCAUCUUGAACACCUUCAAGAUCAUGUCAUGGUAUGUGCUCAUUUUGAAAGUACUAUUAAGCGUUUUGAUCUAUCCUUAUAGAUCUUGAUGCUCAAUGUUCAAGCAGCUCAAUCCAGGCUUUCCAUUGAAAAACACUUUCCAAAUAACCCUAUAUGCUUUCCAGAAAUUCUACAUCAUUUCUGAUCCAUAAUAUGUCAACAACAUAUACUCAUCGGAAAUUCUAUAGUGCUCCCACUCACUUCUUUGGAAAUACAAGUUUCUCAUAAACUUUGUAUACACCCAAAAUCUUUGAUCAUCUCAUCAAAGCAUACAUUCCAACUCCGAGAUGCUUACUCCAGUCCUCAGAAGGAUAGCUGGAGCUUUGCAUACUUAUUAGCAUCUUUCAGGAUUGACAAAACCUUCCGGUUGUAUCACAUACAACCUUUCCUCAAGAAAAUAGUCGAGGAAACAAUGUUUUGACCUCCUAUCUGCAAGAUUUCAUAAAUAAUGCAGUAAUCGCUAAUAUAAUUCCAAUAGACUCUUAGCAUCGCUACGAGUGAGAAAGUCUCACCGUAGUCAACUCCUUGCCCUUGUCGGAAAACAUCUUAACGACAAGUCGAGCUUUCUUAACGGUGAUACUUACCAUCAUUGUCCGUCUUCCUUUUAAAAUCCAUAUGUACCUAACAGCCUUACGACCAUCAAAUAGUUCUUCCAAAGUCUACACUUUGUUUUCAUACAUGGAUCCUCUCUCGGAUUUUAUGGCCUCGAGCCAUUUAUCGGAAUCUGGGCCCACCAUCGCUUCUCCAUAGCUCGUAGGUUCAUUGUUGUCUAGCAACAUGACUUCCAAGACAGGAUCACGUACCACUCUGAAGUAGUACGCAUCCUUGUCAUCCCACGAGGUUUGGGAGUGACUUGAUCUGAAGUCUCAUGAUCAAUAUCAUAAGCUUCCACUUCAAUUGGUGUAGGUGCCACAGGAACAACUCUUUGUGCCCUGCUAUACACUAGUUGAAGUAACGGUUUAAUAACCUCAUCAAGUCUCCACCAUCCUCCCACUAAAUUCUUUCGAGAGAAACUUUUCCUCGAGAAAGGACCCGAUUCUAGAAACAAUCCCUUAUUGCUUUCGGAUCUGAGACAGGAGGUAUACCCAACUGUUUUGGGUGUCCUAUGAAGAUGCAUUUAUCCGCUUUGGGUUCGAGCUUAUCAACCUGAAACUUUUUCACAUAAGCGUCGCAGUCCCAAACUUUUUAAGAAAUGACAACUUAGGUUUCUCUAAACCAUAGUUCAUACGGUGUCAUCUCAUCGGAAUUACGUGGUGCCCUAUUUAAAGUGAAUGUGGUUGUCUCUAAUGCCUAACCCAUAAACUAUUGUGGUAAUUUGAUAAGAGACAUCAUGGUAUGCAUCAUAUCCAAUAGGGUGCAGUUAUGAUGUACGGACACACCAUCGCACCAUGGUGUUCCUGGCUAUAUUGGUUGUGAAACAACUUCCACAAUGUCUUAAUUCUGUGCCAAACUCGUAAUUCAGAUAUUCAUCUCUAUGAUCAUAUCAUAGAUUUUUAUCCUCUUGUCACGACGAUCUUUCAACUUCACCCUGAAAUUACUUGAACCUUUCAAUAAUUCAGACUCGUGAUUCAUCAAGUAAAUGUACUCAACAUCUACUCAAACCAUCUGUGAAGUAAGAACAUAACGAUAUCCACUACAUGCCUCAGCGCUCAUUGGACUGCACACAUCAAAAUGUAUUACUUCCAACAAGUUGCUUUCUAGUUCCAUUCCAUUGAAAAACGAGGCUUUCAGUCAUCUUGCCCAUGUGGUAUGAUUUGCAUGUCUCAAGUGAUUCAAAAUCAAGCGAGUACAAAACGGUCCAUUUGCAUGGAGUUUCUUCAUGCAUAUAUACCAAUAGACAUGGUUCGCAUGCCUCAAACUUUUCAAAAACGAGUGAGUCCAAAGAUCCAUCAACAUGGAGCUUCUUCAUGCGUUUUAUACCGAUAUGACUUACGUGGCAGUGCCACAAGUAGGUGGUACUAUCAUUACUAUCUUUUGGCAUGAAAAUGUGUAUCACUACGAUCGAGAAUCAAUAAACCAUUCCUUUAGGUGCAAGACCAUUGAAGGUAUUAUCCAAAUAAAUAGAGUAACCAUUAUUCUCCUUAAAUGAAUAACCGUAUUGCGAUAGACAUAAUCCAAUCAUGUCUAUGCUCAACGCAAACACCAAAUGACAAUUAUUCAGGUUUAAUACUAAUCUUGAUGGUAGAGGGAGCGUGCGAUGCUUGAUCACAUCAAGCUUGGAAAAACUUCCAACACAUAUCGUCAGCUCACCUUUAGCUAGUCUCCGUUUAUUCCGUAGCUUUUAUUUCGAGUUACUAACACUUAGCAACCGAACCGGUAUCUAAUACCCUGGUGCUACUAGGAGUACUAGUAAAGUAUACAUUAACAUAAUUUAUAUCCAAUAUACUUCUAUCGACCUUGCCAGCCUUCUCAUCUACCAAGCAUUUAGGGUAAUUCUGCUCCAGUGGCUGUUCCCCUUAUUACAGAAGCACUCAGUCUCGGGUUUGGGUUCAACCUUGGGUUUCUUCACUAGAGCAGCAGCUGAAUUGCCGUUUCAUGAAGUAUCCCUUCGUGCCCUUGCCCUUCUUGAAACUAGUGGUCUCACUGACCAUCAACGAUUGAUGCUCCCUUUUGAUUUCUACUUUCGCGGAGUCAAACAUCGCGAAUAUCUCAAGGAUCAUCAUAUAUGUCCCUGAUAUAUCAUAGUUCAUCACGAAGCUCUAGCAGCUUGGUGGUAAUGACUUCGGAGAAACAUCACUAUCUUAUCUGGAAGAUUAACUCCCACUCGAUUCAAAUGAUUGUCGCACUCAGACAAUCUGAGCACAAGCUCAACAAUUGAGUUUCUCUCCUUAGUUUGCAGGCUAAGAAAAUCGUCGGAGGUCUCAUACCUCUUGACGUGGGCACAAGCCUGAAAUCCUAAUUUCAGCCCUCAAAACAUCUCAUAUGUCUCGUGAUGUUUCAAAAACAUCUUUGGUGCCUCAACUCUAAACCGUUUAACUGAACUAUCACGUAGUUAUCAAAAUGUGUAUGUCAGAUGUUCGCAACAUCCACAGACAACGUUCGAGGUUCAACACACCGAGCGGUGCAUUAAGGACAUAAGCCUUCUAAGAAGCAAUGAGGACAAUCCUCAGUUUACGGACCUAGUCCGCAUAAUUGCUACUAUCAACUUUCAACUAAUUUUUCUCUCGGAACAUAUCUAAACAGUAGAACUAUAGCGUGAGCUACGACAUAAUUUGCAAAAAACCUUUUGACUAUGUUCAGAAUAAUUAAGUUCAUCUUAUGAACUCCCACUCAGAUAGACAUCCCUCUAGUCAUCUAAGUGAUUACAUGAUCCGAGUGAACUAGGCCGUGUCCGAUCAACACGUGAGACGGACUAGUCAACGUCGGUGAACAUCUUCAUGUUGAUCGUAUCUUCUAUACGACUCAUGCUCGACCUUUCGGUCUCUGUGUUCCGAGGCCAUGUCUUCACAUGCUAGGCUCGUCAAGUUAACCCUAAGUGUUUUUGCUGUGUAAAACUGUCUUACACCCGUUGUAUGUGAACGUAAGAAUCUAUCACACCCGAUUAACACGUGGUGCUUCGAAACGACGAACUGUAGCAACGGUGCACAGUUAGGGGAGAACACUUCUUGAAAUUUUAAUGAGGGGUCAUCUUAUUUACUACCGUCGUUCUAAGCAAAUAAGAUGUAUAAGCAUGAUAAACAUCAUAUGCAAUUAAAUAGUAGUGACAUGAUAUGGCCAAUAUCAUGUAGCUCCUUUGAUCUCCAUCUUGGGGCUCCAUGAUCAUCUAUUACAAGAACAUGAUCAAUCUCAUACAUUACAUAUAUCAUUCAUCACAUCCUUUUGGCCAUAUCACAUCACAUAGCAUACCCUGCAAAAACAAGUUAGACGUCCUCUAAUUGUUGUUUGCAUGUUUUACGUGGCUGCUAUGGGUUUCUAGCAAGAACGUUUCUUACCUACGCAAAACCACAACGUGAUAUGCCAAUUGCUAUUUACCCUUCAUAAGGACCCUUUUCAUCGAAUCUGAUCCGACUAAAGUGGGAGAGACAGACACCCGCUAGCCACCUUAUGCAACUAGUGCAUGUUUGUCGGUGGAACCGGUCUCACGUAAGAGUACGUGUAAGGUUGGUCCGGGCCGCUUCAUCCCACGAUGCCGCCGAAUCAAGAUAAGACUAGUAACGGCAAGCAUAUAGAACAACAUCAACGCCCACAACUACUUUGUGUUCUACUCGUGCAAAGAAUCUACGCAAUAGACCUAGCUCAUGAUGCCACUGUUGGGGAACGUAGCAGAAAUUCAAAAUUUUCCUACGUGUCACCAAGAUCUAUCUAUAGAGAGACUAGCAACGAGGGGAAGGAGAGUGCAUCUACAUACCCUUGUAGAUCGCUAAGCGGAAGCGUUCAAGUGAACGGGGUUGAUGAAGUCGUACUUGUCGUGAUUCAAAUUACCGAUGAUCAAGUGCCGAACGCACGGCACCUCCGCGUUCAACACACGUACAGCCCGGUGACGUCUCUCAUGCCUUGAUCCAGCAAGGAGAGAGGGAGAGGUUGAUGAAGAUUCAGCAGCACGACGGCGUGGUGGUGGAUGCAGGGCGUCACAGUAGCAGGGCUUCGCCUAUACUACGAGAGAGAGACGUAACGGGGAGAGGGGGAAGCACCAAAGGCUUAGGUAUGAAAUCCAUCCUCUCCCCCACUAUAUAUAGGAGGGCCAAGGGGGGGUGGUGCGCAGCCUAGGAGAUCCAAUCUCCUAGGUGCGGCGGCCAGGGGAGGUUUCCCUCCCCCCCAAGGCACUUAGGGGUGCCUUCCACUAGUGGGACUCCUCCCCAUGGAAACCCUAGGUGCAUGGGCCUAUAGGGGCUGGUGCCCUUGGCCCAUAUAGGCCAAGGCGCACUCCCUACAGCCCAUGUGCCCCCCCGGGACAGGUGGCCCCACCCGGUGGGCCCCCGGGACCCCUCCGGUGGUCCCGGUACAAUACCGAUAACCCCGAAACUUGUCCCGAUGGCCGAAACAUCACUUCCUAUAUAUAAUUCUUUACUUCCGGACCAUUCCGGAACUCCUCGUGACGUCCGGGAUCUCAUCCAGGACUCCGAACAACUUUCGGGUUACUGCAUACACAUAUCUUCAUAACCCUAGCGUCACCGAACCUUAAGUGUGUAGACCCUACGGGUUCGGGAGACAUGCAGACAUGACCGAGACGUUCUCCGGUCAAUAACCAACAGCGGGAUCUGGAUACCCAUGAUGGCUCCCACAUGUUCCACGAUGAUCUCAUCGGAUGAACCAUGAUGUCAAGGACUUAAUCAAUCCCGUAUUCAAUUCCCUUUGUCUAUCGGUAUGUUACUUGCCCGAGAUUCGAUCGUCGGUAUCCAAUACCUUGUUCAAUCUCGUUACCGGCAAGUCACUUUACUCGUUCCGUAACACAUCAUCCCGUGAUCAACUCCUUGGUCACAUUGCGCAUAUGAUGAUGUCCUACCGAGUGGGCCCAGAGAUACCUCUCCGUUUACACGGAGUGACAAAUCCCAGUCUCGAUCCGCAUAAAACAAUAGAUACUUUCGGAGAUACCUGUAGUGCACCUUUAUAGUCACCCAGUUACGUUGUGACGUUUGAUACACCCAAAGCACUCCUACGGUAUCCAGGAGUUACACGCUCUCAUGGUCGAAGGAAGAGAUACUUGACAUUGGCAAAGCUCUAGCAAAUGAACUACACGAUCUUUGUGCUAGGCUUAGGAUUUGGGUCUUGUCCAUCACAUGAUUCUCCUAAUGAUGUGAUCCCGUUAUCAACGACAUCCAAUGUCCAUGGUCAGGAAACCGUAACCAUCUAUUGAUCAACGAGCUAGUCAACUAGAGGCUUACUAGGGACAUAGUUGUGGUCUAUGUAUUCACACGUGUAUUAUGAUUUCCGGUUAAUACAGUUAUAGCAUGAAUAAAAGACAAUUAUCAUGAACAAGGAAAUAUAAUAAUAACUAAUUUAUUAUUGCCUCUAGGGCAUAUUUCCAACAGUCUCCCACUUGCACUAGAGUCAAUAAUCUAGUUCACAUCACCAUGUGAUUAACACUCACAGGUCACAUCGCCAUGUGACUAAUACCCAAGAGUUUACUAGAGUCAGUAGUCUAGUCCACAUCACUAUGUGAUUAACACUCAAUAAGUUUUAUGUUUGAUCAUGUUGCUUGUGAGAGAGGUUUUAGUCAACGGGUCCGAACCUUUCAGAUCCGUGUGUGCUUUACAAAUCUCUAUGUCAUUUCCUAGAUGUAGCUACCACGCUCUAUUUGGAGCUAUUCCAAAUAACUGUUCUACUUGGAGCUAUUCUAAAUUGUUUCUCCAUUAUACGUAUCCGGUAUCUCUACUCAGAGCUAUCCAGAUAGGUGUCAAGCUUGCAUCAACGUAACCCUUUACGACGAACUCUUUUUACCACCUCCAUAACCGAGAAAAAUUCCUUAGUCCGCUAGUUACUAAGGAUAACUUUGACCGCUGUCCUAUGAUCCAUUUUUGGAUCACUCUUGUACCCCUUGACUGACUCAUGGCAAGGCACACUUCAGGUGCGGUACACAGCAUAGCAUACUGUAGAGCCUACGUCUUAAGCAUAGGGGACGACCUUCGUCCUUUUUCUCUAUUCUGCCGUGGUCGAGCUUUAAGUCUUAACUUCAUACCUUACAACUCAGUCAAGAACUCCUUCUUUGACCGAUCCAUCUUGAACACCUUCAAGAUCAUGUCAUGGUAUGUGCUCAUUUUGAAAGUACUAUUAAGCGUUUUGAUCUAUCCUUAUAGAUCUUGAUGCUCAAUGUUCAAGCAGCUCAAUCCAGGCUUUCCAUUGAAAAACACUUUCCAAAUAACCCUAUAUGCUUUCCAGAAAUUCUACAUCAUUUCUGAUCCAUAAUAUGUCAACAACAUAUACUCAUCGGAAAUUCUAUAGUGCUCCCACUCACUUCUUUGGAAAUACAAGUUUCUCAUAAACUUUGUAUACACCCAAAAUCUUUGAUCAUCUCAUCAAAGCAUACAUUCCAACUCCGAGAUGCUUACUCCAGUCCUCAGAAGGAUAGCUGGAGCUUUGCAUACUUAUUAGCAUCUUUCAGGAUUGACAAAACCUUCCGGUUGUAUCACAUACAACCUUUCCUCAAGAAAAUAGUCGAGGAAACAAUGUUUUGACCUCCUAUCUGCAAGAUUUCAUAAAUAAUGCAGUAAUCGCUAAUAUAAUUCCAAUAGACUCUUAGCAUCGCUACGAGUGAGAAAGUCUCACCGUAGUCAACUCCUUGCCCUUGUCGGAAAACAUCUUAACGACAAGUCGAGCUUUCUUAACGGUGAUACUUACCAUCAUUGUCCGUCUUCCUUUUAAAAUCCAUAUGUACCUAACAGCCUUACGACCAUCAAAUAGUUCUUCCAAAGUCUACACUUUGUUUUCAUACAUGGAUCCUCUCUCGGAUUUUAUGGCCUCGAGCCAUUUAUCGGAAUCUGGGCCCACCAUCGCUUCUCCAUAGCUCGUAGGUUCAUUGUUGUCUAGCAACAUGACUUCCAAGACAGGAUCACGUACCACUCUGAAGUAGUACGCAUCCUUGUCAUCCCACGAGGUUUGGGAGUGACUUGAUCUGAAGUCUCAUGAUCAAUAUCAUAAGCUUCCACUUCAAUUGGUGUAGGUGCCACAGGAACAACUCUUUGUGCCCUGCUAUACACUAGUUGAAGUAACGGUUUAAUAACCUCAUCAAGUCUCCACCAUCCUCCCACUAAAUUCUUUCGAGAGAAACUUUUCCUCGAGAAAGGACCCGAUUCUAGAAACAAUCCCUUAUUGCUUUCGGAUCUGAGACAGGAGGUAUACCCAACUGUUUUGGGUGUCCUAUGAAGAUGCAUUUAUCCGCUUUGGGUUCGAGCUUAUCAACCUGAAACUUUUUCACAUAAGCGUCGCAGUCCCAAACUUUUUAAGAAAUGACANNNNNNNNNNNNNNNNNNNNNNNNNNNNNNNNNNNNNNNNNNNNNNNNNNNNNNNNNNNNNNNNNNNNNNNNNNNNNNNNNNNNNNNNNNNNNNNNNNNNNNNNNNNNNNNNNNNNNNNNNNNNNNNNNNNNNNNNNNNNNNNNNNNNNNNNNNNNNNNNNNNNNNNNNNNNNNNNNNNNNNNNNNNNNNNNNNNNNNNNNNNNNNNNNNNNNNNNNNNNNNNNNNNNNNNNNNNNNNNNNNNNNNNNNNNNNNNNNNNNNNNNNNNNNNNNNNNNNNNNNNNNNNNNNNNNNNNNNNNNNNNNNNNNNNNNNNNNNNNNNNNNNNNNNNNNNNNNNNNNNNNNNNNNNNNNNNNNNNNNNNNNNNNNNNNNNNNNNNNNNNNNNNNNNNNNNNNNNNNNNNNNNNNNNNNNNNNNNNNNNNNNNNNNNNNNNNNNNNNNNNNNNNNNNNNNNNNNNNNNNNNNNNNNNNNNNNNNNNNNNNNNNNNNNNNNNNNNNNNNNNNNNNNNNNNNNNNNNNNNNNNNNNNNNNNNNNNNNNNNNNNNNNNNNNNNNNNNNNNNNNNNNNNNNNNNNNNNNNNNNNNNNNNNNNNNNNNNNNNNNNNNNNNNNNNNNNNNNNNNNNNNNNNNNNNNNNNNNNNNNNNNNNNNNNNNNNNNNNNNNGCAUGGGCCUAUAGGGGCUGGUGCCCUUGGCCCAUAUAGGCCAAGGCGCACUCCCUACAGCCCAUGUGCCCCCCCGGGACAGGUGGCCCCACCCGGUGGGCCCCCGGGACCCCUCCGGUGGUCCCGGUACAAUACCGAUAACCCCGAAACUUGUCCCGAUGGCCGAAACAUCACUUCCUAUAUAUAAUUCUUUACUUCCGGACCAUUCCGGAACUCCUCGUGACGUCCGGGAUCUCAUCCAGGACUCCGAACAACUUUCGGGUUACUGCAUACACAUAUCUUCAUAACCCUAGCGUCACCGAACCUUAAGUGUGUAGACCCUACGGGUUCGGGAGACAUGCAGACAUGACCGAGACGUUCUCCGGUCAAUAACCAACAGCGGGAUCUGGAUACCCAUGAUGGCUCCCACAUGUUCCACGAUGAUCUCAUCGGAUGAACCAUGAUGUCAAGGACUUAAUCAAUCNNNNNNNNNNNNNNNNNNNNNNNNNNNNNNNNNNNNNNNNNNNNNNNNNNNNNNNNNNNNNNNNNNNNNNNNNNNNNNNNNNNNNNNNNNNNNNNNNNNNNNNNNNNNNNNNNNNNNNNNNNNNNNNNNNNNNNNNNNNNNNNNNNNNNNNNNNNNNNNNNNNNNNNNNNNNNNNNNNNNNNNNNNNNNNNNNNNNNNNNNNNNNNNNNNNNNNNNNNNNNNNNNNNNNNNNNNNNNNNNNNNNNNNNNNNNNNNNNNNNNNNNNNNNNNNNNNNNNNNNNNNNNNNNNNNNNNNNNNNNNNNNNNNNNNNNNNNNNNNNNNNNNNNNNNNNNNNNNNNNNNNNNNNNNNNNNNNNNNNNNNNNNNNNNNNNNNNNNNNNNNNNNNNNNNNNNNNNNNNNNNNNNNNNNNNNNNNNNNNNNNNNNNNNNNNNNNNNNNNNNNNNNNNNNNNNNNNNNNNNNNNNNNNNNNNNNNNNNNNNNNNNNNNNNNNNNNNNNNNNNNNNNNNNNNNNNNNNNNNNNNNNNNNNNNNNNNNNNNNNNNNNNNNNNNNNNNNNNNNNNNNNNNNNNNNNNNNNNNNNNNNNNNNNNNNNNNNNNNNNNNNNNNNNNNNNNNNNNNNNNNNNNNNNNNNNNNNNNNNNNNNNNNNNNNNNNNNNNNNNNNNNNNNNNNNNNNNNNNNNNNNNNNNNNNNNNNNNNNNNNNNNNNNNNNNNNNNNNNNNNNNNNNNNNNNNNNNNNNNNNNNNNNNNNNNNNNNNNNNNNNNNNNNNNNNNNNNNNNNNNNNNNNNNNNNNNNNNNNNNNNNNNNNNNNNNNNNNNNNNNNNNNNNNNNNNNNNNNNNNNNNNNNNNNNNNNNNNNNNNNNNNNNNNNNNNNNNNNNNNNNNNNNNNNNNNNNNNNNNNNNNNNNNNNNNNNNNNNNNNNNNNNNNNNNNNNNNNNNNNNNNNNNNNNNNNNNNNNNNNNNNNNNNNNNNNNNNNNNNNNNNNNNNNNNNNNNNNNNNNNNNNNNNNNNNNNNNNNNNNNNNNNNNNNNNNNNNNNNNNNNNNNNNNNNNNNNCGAGUGAACUAGGCCGUGUCCGAUCAACACGUGAGACGGACUAGUCAACGUCGGUGAACAUCUUCAUGUUGAUCGUAUCUUCUAUACGACUCAUGCUCGACCUUUCGGUCUCUGUGUUCCGAGGCCAUGUCUUCACAUGCUAGGCUCGUCAAGUUAACCCUAAGUGUUUUUGCUGUGUAAAACUGUCUUACACCCGUUGUAUGUGAACGUAAGAAUCUAUCACACCCGAUUAACACGUGGUGCUUCGAAACGACGAACUGUAGCAACGGUGCACAGUUAGGGGAGAACACUUCUUGAAAUUUUAAUGAGGGGUCAUCUUAUUUACUACCGUCGUUCUAAGCAAAUAAGAUGUAUAAGCAUGAUAAACAUCAUAUGCAAUUAAAUAGUAGUGACAUGAUAUGGCCAAUAUCAUGUAGCUCCUUUGAUCUCCAUCUUGGGGCUCCAUGAUCAUCUAUUACAAGAACAUGAUCAAUCUCAUACAUUACAUAUAUCAUUCAUCACAUCCUUUUGGCCAUAUCACAUCACAUAGCAUACCCUGCAAAAACAAGUUAGACGUCCUCUAAUUGUUGUUUGCAUGUUUUACGUGGCUGCUAUGGGUUUCUAGCAAGAACGUUUCUUACCUACGCAAAACCACAACGUGAUAUGCCAAUUGCUAUUUACCCUUCAUAAGGACCCUUUUCAUCGAAUCUGAUCCGACUAAAGUGGGAGAGACAGACACCCGCUAGCCACCUUAUGCAACUAGUGCAUGUUUGUCGGUGGAACCGGUCUCACGUAAGAGUACGUGUAAGGUUGGUCCGGGCCGCUUCAUCCCACGAUGCCGCCGAAUCAAGAUAAGACUAGUAACGGCAAGCAUAUAGAACAACAUCAACGCCCACAACUACUUUGUGUUCUACUCGUGCAAAGAAUCUACGCAAUAGACCUAGCUCAUGAUGCCACUGUUGGGGAACGUAGCAGAAAUUCAAAAUUUUCCUACGUGUCACCAAGAUCUAUCUAUAGAGAGACUAGCAACGAGGGGAAGGAGAGUGCAUCUACAUACCCUUGUAGAUCGCUAAGCGGAAGCGUUCAAGUGAACGGGGUUGAUGAAGUCGUACUUGUCGUGAUUCAAAUCACCGAUGAUCAAGUGCCGAACGCACGGCACCUCCGCGUUCAACACACGUACAGCCCGGUGACGUCUCCCAUGCCUUGAUCCAGCAAGGAGAGAGGGAGAGGUUGAUGAAGAUUCAGCAGCACGACGGCGUGGUGGUGGAUGUAGGGCGUCACAGUAGCAGGGCUUCGCCUAUACUACGAGAGAGAGACGUAACGGGGAGAGGGGGAAGCACCAAAGGCUUAGGUAUGAAAUCCAUCCUCUCCCCCACUAUAUAUAGGAGGGCCAAGGGGGGGUGGUGCGCAGCCUAAGAGAUCCAAUCUCCUAGGUGCGGCGGCCAGGGGAGGUUUCCCUCCCCCCCAAGGCACUUAGGGGUGCCUUCCACUAGUGGGACUCCUCCCCAUGGAAACCCUAGGCGCAUGGGCCUAUAGGGGCUGGUGCCCUUGGCCCAUAUAGGCCAAGGCGCACUCCCUACAGCCCAUGUGCCCCCCCGGGACAGGUGGCCCCACCCGGUGGGCCCCCGGGACCCCUCCGGUGGUCCCGGUACAAUACCGAUAACCCCGAAACUUGUCCCGAUGGCCGAAACAGCACUUCCUAUAUAUAAUUCUUUACUUCCGGACCAUUCCGGAACUCCUCGUGAUGUCCGGGAUCUCAUCCGGGACUCCGAACAACUUUCGGGUUACUGCAUACACAUAUCUUCAUAAUCCUAGCGUCACCGAACCUUAAGUGUGUAGACCCUACGGGUUCGGGAGACAUGCAGACAUGACCGAGACGUUCUCCGGUCAAUAACCAACAGCGGGAUCUGGAUACCCAUGAUGGCUCCCACAUGUUCCAUGAUGAUCUCAUCGGAUGAACCAUAAUGUCAAGGACUUAAUCAAUCCCGUAUUCAAUUCCCUUUGUCUAUCGGUAUGUUACUUGCCCGAGAUUCGAUCGUCGGUAUCCAAUACCUUGUUCAAUCUCGUUACCGGCAAGUCACUUUACUCGUUCCGUAACACAUCAUCCCGUGAUCAACUCCUUGGUCACAUUGCGCAUAUGAUGAUGUCCUACCGAGUGGGCCCAGAGAUACCUCUCCGUUUACACGGAGUGACAAAUCCCAGUCUCGAUCCGCAUAAAACAAUAGAUACUUUCGGAGAUACCUGUAGUGCACCUUUAUAGUCACCCAGUUACGUUGUGACGUUUGAUACACCCAAAGCACUCCUACGGUAUCCAGGAGUUACACGCUCUCAUGGUCAAAGGAAGAGAUACUUGACAUUGGCAAAGCUCUAGCAAAUGAACUACACGAUCUUUGUGCUAGGCUUAGGAUUUGGGUCUGGUCCAUCACAUGAUUCUCCUAAUGAUGUGAUCCCGUUAUCAACGACAUCCAAUGUCCAUGGUCAGGAAACCGUAACCAUCUAUUGAUCAACGAGCUAGUUAACUAGAGGCUUACUAGGGACAUAGUUGUGGUCUAUGUAUUCACACGUGUAUUACGAUUUCCGGUUAAUACAGUUAUAGCAUGAAUAAAAGACAAUUAUCAUGAACAAGGAAAUAUAAUAAUAACUAAUUUAUUAUUGCCUCUAGGGCAUAUUUCCAACAGUUACCCUAGAAAGAAUAUGCAACUCGGGGUUAAUUUGAAGCCACUACUGGUCCUGAUGUGCUACGAACCAGAGCAGAGGGGAGGAGUGGACCAACUCACCCGAGGCCAGAGGAGCAGGAGGAAGCUCCAUGGCUGCUUUGUCCCGAGCAGCUACAAGGAUGUCCACCGGCGGUUCCUCCCUGCACGUGUACAGAAGAAGAGAAGAGCAGGUUAGAGAAAGGGGGAGAGAGAGAGGAUGAAGCCAGGGGAGGGGAUGCACUCACCGGACGGGAGGUGGAUGACGGCCACCGGAGCCGACGCCUGAAACCCUAAUAGCCAUGGGUGGAGGGUCGCGGGUGGGCUUGGGUGACCGCGAGCGCCGUAUCUAACCGGAUGGGAGGGAGCCGCGGUGCGAGGGCGCCUCAGGCUGUGCUUCACAGUGGCGGGGUUCGCCGGACGUCGCCUGAGUCAACCGCCGCAGGUGGUGCAGAAGGAGCCGCGUGAAGAGAGGGAGAUGGGACGCGAGAGGGAUGAGUGGGUGGGGAUUGGGCGGAUCCGGCAGCCACUGGAGCUGCGAGGUGGGAGGAGCGGAGGGGGAGGGCCGGCGGCAAGGUGGGUCGGAGGAGGGAUACGAGGCGAUGGAUGGCGGCGAUUUGGGAGAGAUGAGGGGAAUCCAGGACUCUAUUUCUCGUGCGUCUCUCUCUUUCCUUUUCUCUGUUUUUCUUUCAUAUAUGUACCAUGAAAGGGUCAUGGGCUGUAACUUUACAACGCAUAUGCUCCAACCCUUAUAUACGUAUCUAUUAUGAAUUUUGCAACAUAUAGUCAAACUGUUGUAGAGUUUUUGUUGCUUUAUAAGGGGUAUUUUUGUAGUGAACGCUAACACCCACACGUGUGGUGGGAGCCAAACCCGCGCACACGCCCUAUAACACAUAGACUGCGCCACGUCACCGCAUGCACGCAUGUGAAAAUCUUUUUGGAUUUUCAAUUUUUAAAAUGGUUUAUCUCUUAAAUAAAAGAUUCGAUUGAAGAUCCGUUUUCACCAUUAAAUCUCUCGGAUGAGAUCUUGGAAAAUAGAUCUCAUAUCAAUAUAUUUCGACGAUUUUUUUUGUUAAAAGUUGACAUGUCUAUUGCAUAUGAAUUGCCAUGAUAUUUACACUGAAGUUGCCAUGAUAUGUUUUAGCUAUUUUCUUUUAUAUUUAAAAUUAAAUUUUAACAUAUUAUAAAACGGGGAAUUAAGAAACUAGACUUGCCAUGAAUAAUAAACUAAAAUUGCCAUGAUACCUGCACUUAAAAUUGCCAUGGUUCAUACAAAAAUUAAUUUUUAUGGUCAAAGUACUGAAAUUGCCAUCAUAAAAAAACUAAAAUUGCCAUGCUCUACAAACUAAAAUUGCCACAUUGCAACUUUAGUUUAAGCACUAUAGCAAUUACAAUGUAAACAUCAUGGCAACUUUUAGGCAAAAAAAAAUUCGUCGAAACAUAAACAUGGAGUUUAGUUUUGAAGAUCUCGUCGAGAUGGAUUUAAUGGUGAAAACAGAUUUUUAAUUCGAUUUUGUAAUUAGGACAUAAAACAUUUUUAAGCCGAAACCAAAAAGAUCCUUGCUGUUGUCAUCUAUUCAUACGUGGCAAAAUGAGUGGUGAUGAAGGCGUGUAGGCGAUGUGCAAGAUGCCACACGUGUGGGCGUUAGUUUUUUAUUUUUUAAUAUAGUACAGACGCAUGCGCUUAUAUGUACGCGCAUACACUCAUCCCUAUGAACACACACGCACACUCUAUUCCUAUUAGCAUUUUUGAGAGACUAAGCCGGCAUAUCAUUUUGAGAUUGACGCGCGUAGGUGGCUCCUCCCGGGAUGUCGUUCCAACCUCAGUGCCGACGCUAGGGAGCUUGUCCAGGUAUCACCAUGUGUUCGCCUUCUUCUACCUCUUUUGUCUCUACCCAUCUGUUUGUUUGUUCGUUUUUCUUUUGGGCGGCAUGGUGGUAAGUGGAUCAGGAACAAGACAGAAAUAAACACAGCCGUUGAUAGAAAAUUUUCCGUGGUGAUUGAGCAACUAGUCUUUUUUAGAAUAGAAAAGAGAGGGAGAGAGAGAUCAAAGUGAGUGGAAAGGGGGAGGAAAUGAAGCGACCGUCCGUGGAUGAAACGGCUCGCCUUGAAGGAAGGAAGAUGAAUCUCAUCGUUUCAAGUCCAAGGUUGGUUUGUUUCUUUGGCCCUGUGUUUCUCUCUUUCUUUCUUUCUUUCUUUCUUUCUUUCUUAAAUGAGAUGAGAUGAGAAAACAGCAACAAUAGGAAAAAAAGGCAGACUAGAGCAGAGCAAGAAAAUAAAAACAGAGAAACCCAAGCUAGGAGCCUUUGAUUUGCCUUGCCUCAUGUACGCGCACGAUUCUUUUAAAGAAGUUCUUUUUUGGAUUUUUUUAGUGAUCACUUGUACCUAGUUAUUCACAUUUGCUUUAGCCGAGUGCUAUCCCUUGUAGUUAUUGUAUUUUUGUUGGAGAAAUCAAUAUUUUUCUCCUUGCAUUUCGAAAAAUGUGGAAACAUUGUAUUUGUAAUAUUCCAUUUUUAUUUGUUGUUUUACCUAUACUUCUUGGUGUUCAAAUGAAAAACUUGGUCUGCUACACUUUUUUUCCUGAGUUUCUACCAAUUUCUUGCAUUUUUUUUCUUACUUUUCGUAUUGCCGGUCUACUAGAACUUUGCUGAUCUACUAGAACUUUGUUCGUUGUGGUUGCCCAUACGAACGGCAACUGCCGCUGCGACCGACUAUUCCAUAUCGAUCGGGGAAGAGGUUAAGGCCCUGUUUGGAUCCCCUCCGCUCCCCAACUGCAGCUCCGGGAGCGGAGGGAGCGCCAGCGCAAUCAGGCGGAGUGGCUCGAACCCAACUCCUCGCGCGGAGCGGAGUUGACGGUCUGGAGAGCUACCGAACAUGCUUUAAAUUGCAGGAGCAGACCAUGUCCAUGACCGGCAACCCCGGCGGUGCUGAGUGGCCUGACCGCAUCGGCGCCACACAUCUCCCACUACCUCAUCAACACCAUCCCUUGUGAUGCCCAACCAGAGCUCCCUGCCUGGAUCUCGAUCUAGCAUGCCCUGCCCACCCACCCAACGAUAUGCGUGUGCUAUCGGACGAAAAGAACACGUUUCACAUGUGAAACGCGUGUGUGAUAGAAAUACCUAGCACACACACUUAUGAAAUGGACACAUUGGCGAUACUAGAGGCACCACACACAUUUUGUAGUUUUUUACUAUGUGGGAUAUUGUACCAAUGGCAAACAAAUUGGUAGAUUAAAUGUUUGUGAUAUCCAUCUUUUGCACAUGAGUAUCUCUGAAUAAUUGUUUCGGAUGCCUGACGGAUUGCAAACAUAAUGUGAAGUUGUACGUGUGGGAUAGUCCACGACUUCGCAUACGAUUACUUUAGAAAAUCGUCACCAACCGCUCGACCUAUCCCAGAUGAUUUAUCUGGGUCAUGUGUGAUGGACCCCCUUAUCGCCCACACAUGCAAAACCACGGUUUAUAACUUGUCUCAAAAAUGGGGUAAAAACCGUUUGUAUAAGAGUUCAUGUACCAGUGUUUCUUUGUACUAUUGGUAAUUACUGUAGAUAUAAAUAAUCUAAAAUUAAUUUUAUUUCACCAUCAAUUUAUUGUAUGUAAUUACUAUAAAUGUACUAGAUCCGUAAUUUGCAAAUUAAUUUAAGUCAUUUUAGGCUUAGAGAUAUGUAUUGAAAGAAGUCAAGUUAAGUUAUUGUAACUUCUCUAACUUUUCUUCUGUAUGUUAGAGGAUCUGGUUGCCUCGUGGGUGUGUUAGCGAGUUACUCUAGAAUCAUGUUGUCUUUACAUGCCUUUUGUUCCCUAAUUUAUGUUUUCAUUGCUCAAGAAAUAAAAUUAUUUUCCAUGUGUUCCCGGCAAGCAAGCUAGAUAAUCCUGCUAUGAUAUGAUAAUUAUUUUUGUUAAGAUAAUAAAUGCAUGCUUGAAUGCCAAUGAUUGCUUUGCUUGGCAUAUAAUUGUAAGAUACAUGUACUCAAUCAUAAAUAACUAUUGAGUAAAUACGAUUUGAUAAAGUGCACACCGGGGGAUGGCGGCUAAUGCCCUCUUUCUACCCCAUAACAGUAUUAAUGUUAUGUUUUGCAUAUCAUAUUUUUUUUGUUCGUUUGACCACCCAAACGGACAAAAGGCCAAUAGCCCAAAAGAAAUACCAAUUGUAUUGAACGAGAACAAAUGCACGUGCUAAACUAUUAUGUCCUUUGUUUAAUACAUUCUUUACUUUUUUUAUAAAGGACAUUUUCACUCAAUCGACUUGAUAUUACCAAACUAAGUGAAUGCCCGGCAUCUGCAUAGCAUGAUGCACACAAACAUGUCCAAUAGAACAGAACCAAAAUGAUAAUACUAUUUUAUACCAAAAAUUUAAAAAGGGUGUCCGAAGAGGGGUAAGGUCCUAUACGAAGAACACACCGUCAUCUAUAUACUCCAGCCCGGUAUACACCAUCAUAGAAAUGUCUCAGUCCUCCGGCUUAUGCAUGAUAACCGAGCAUGGAGCCAUCAUGUACAUACAUCAAUAACCUGCACAAGAGGUGAAACACAUUUUUCUAAUUAGAAACCACAUAGUUCCUGGUAAGCCACAUAACCCAACAUAAGGCUGCUGCUCCCACAAGAAUGUGUUGUACCCUGCAACCAGUUGUUGAACAUAUUACACACACUGCAACCAGGGGGGCACACUACACGAGCAAAAUUACACAAAAAAAGGUGUUUAAUAGACUCAGCGUGUUGCCAAAGGACACAUGUCAAGUUACCUUGCCAAUUGUUGUGUGCCAGCUUAUCCAUAGUCAAGAUCAGACCUUUGUUUAAAAGCCAAAGGAAUAUCUUCACUCGAAGAGGUAGUUUGAGAUUCAAAUGUUUAUUAUUAUCAACAAGAACAUUGAUGUGGGCAGUCGCCUCAUAUAAGGACUUGACUGAAAACCUACCAUUCUGAUGCAAGUUUCCUCACAAUCCGUCUGGUUCGUUUGACAAUUGAGUGUGCUUUAAACAUGCCCUAAUAGGACAGAGAAAGAAAUAUCAGUGUUUGCUUGACCCAAGACCUAUGCGAUUGUGAAAAAUUUAUGCCUAGCAAUCCGAUACAAGCUCGGGUAUUGCACCAUAAGUGAAGUGGCAUCAAGCAAAUUAUCCUCCCAGAACCUUAACUCGAAAGCCGCCCCUAACCAAAAAAGUGCCAAAUUGGAAAAAGCUAAAAACCUAUCCCUGGCCUUCAUCAUGUCAUACCAAAAAUGUGAAUCACGGGUUUUUUGUUGGAGUUGAGAAAUGGCUUUGGUACCCACAUACUUGUGACAGACGUUUUCCUGCUACACUCCAUUCUCAGAUAGUAGUUUAUAUACCCAUUUACUGAGAAGGGCAAUGUUUUUAUUCUCUAGNNNNNNNNNNNNNNNNNNNNNNNNNNNNNNNNNNNNNNNNNNNNNNNNNNNNNNNNNNNNNNNNNNNNNNNNNNNNNNNNNNNNNNNNNNNNNNNNNNNNNNNNNNNNNNNNNNNNNNNNNNNNNNNNNNNNNNNNNNNNNNNNNNNNNNNNNNNNNNNNGCCCCUUCACUUUUAGGACCACACAACACAUUUCACAUAGCUACCUGACAUUUUUUCGAUUCAUUAUCACACUGCCAGAAAAGUCUGGAUCUAAAGUAGUCCAAUCUUUGGAGAACCCCUUUCGGUAGGUGGAAGAAGGACAACAUGUAUAAAACCAUAUUUUUUAGGAGGGAAUUGAUCAAGACCAACCGACCCCGAUAAGACAAGAGUUUGGCUUUCAACCUGCCAGUCGUUUCUCAAGUGUCUCUACCACAUAUUUUCACUGAACGACAGUUAGAUGACGAUAGUAAAUUGGAAUACCCAGGGAUAGAAUAGCGAACUGUCUAAGCUGGCAACCAAAAAUCUCAGCAUACUCAAAUGCCAAAAGUGUGGCCUCACCGAAGCAGAAAAGUUUUACUCCCAUGGAAAUUAAUUUGAAGAAAUGAAAGCUCCUCAAAAGCACAUAAAAAGAGGUUGAGGUUUCUAGCUUUAUCUAGGUCAUGAUCCCCAAAAAGUAUGGUGUCAUUUGCAUACUAUACAAUAGACCAGCCAUCUUCUUUUUUCGAAAAGGAUGAUUACCCUGAGUGAUGCAGACAGACAUCUUUAUUACAUUAUUCAACAAGGUCUUACUAAAUAAAAUCAAAAAUUAAUCCAAUGCCACCUUUCUGGCGAAAAAUGUCGCCCUACCUACAAAAUUGAUGAUGUGCCCUGACCUCGCGCCAUGCACACCAAGAAAUCUGGUGGCCUCACCAAGCCACCCGCCGGCUAGCCGGGAGCACCAACCAGUCUACCAAACUCUCAGCAUGCAGCGCAUACGCAUGCUGUAGAAUCCGUCGUCGCCUUCUUCAGCAGUCCCAUCUUCAAGAGCAAUCAAUGCACUGAUAUUGUCAGACCCUUCUGCCGUCGAUGCAAUCAUGUCGCUGGACAAGCCAUCUUCUACUAAGUGAUUAUUUACAACGCUAAUCUGACUGGCCACUUUCGCCCAAUCAACAAGAAUAACUAACAUGUCUGCCACAAUUUUUUCUUCACUUCAUUGGGGUGAAUUUGUUUCAUUUCUCAUGAAAAAUGGUAGCCGUUUACCAUGACAUGACAAACAUACACGUAUAGCUUUUGAACAUGUAAAAUUUUGACCAAAUUACUGCUUCAUCAAAUAACAAUGUUACAAUGAAAUUAUCAAACUCAAUUUGUCAUGUCAUGGCAUGAACAAAAAAUCUUCUUGAACACUUGAAAACACAGCACGCACAUGCUCACUUCACACAUUCAAAAUCACCAGCAAACAAAGCCUUUGUUUCAACUUUCAGAACAAGGGAAGCCACAUGAAUGUGGGCGAGUAGCACUUGCGGUCGUCUAAUUGACUCCCGCCUCCGAUCCUCCUGAUACACCGGGGCCUCUCGGUCGAAUCUCGACAUGCUGCAAGAGUAAUGAGCAGCACGGUGAGUUCUCUAGCUACACAACUGUAACUCUGCAAGUCUUGUGCAGUAGAAAACGCCGUCGAAUUGUCUUUUCCGUGUAAAAUGUGAACAUACCUCCUGCACGGCCGGCGCCGGCGCCGACUUGGGGGCCUCCUCCCUGACCCCGGAGCGGCCACAGCCGGCGACGCGGUCGACGAGGCCGAAAAACCUAUCCCUGAGCUGGGCGGCGAAGUUGGCCAUGGUGGUGGAGGUGGAGCUAGCUGAAGUGAAGAGAGUGCACUGCACGCUGCCUCUCUCGAAUCUGAAUCACACGCAGGUAGCUCUAGUGCUUGAUUUUGGUGGUGGAAGAGUGGUGUGAGUUCUGGGAGCGAUGCGGAGGUCUCAUUUAUACACGACGCGGGGCACCAAACCCGUCAGCUUAGUGUUGCACUUGCACCCCCAUCUAUCAUCAUGGUUCAUGCAUCUGGGUAGGCCCGCAGCCCGUACGUCCAGCCGUCCAGGGAUAUUCAGAUCAACGCAGCAUCGUUUACCACGCAGAUCUUGUGCAGAGUUGUUGAGUGCCAACAUGCCGUCGUGUUAGCUGUGUCCAUUGCUUGAUAUGAUCACUACUAGACUAGUGCUAGCUGCAAUUUGCAUGGAUGACAUGAUUCGCCGGGCCGGGCCGGGCAUCAUGCCAUCAUAUUAUCCGAUGUCGUGGGCACUUUAAUUUCCACCUAUUCUCUCGAGAUCCCGAACCAGGGCCACCGUGAUACAUUCUUCGUUGUUCGCUUAUAGUACCUCUGCGAGCAAUGAGCAUAGUACAGAGUAUAGACCAAACAAUACAAAUACGACUACGAAUAAUAGUGGCAAGACAUAUAAGCAGAUAAAUAAGAAGCAAUCUCUCAGGACCUAGCACAAGAAGUGUGCACGCGAUGAGCUAUUACAACUUGACAAGCCAUAUUUAUGGGUCCUCAAUACAAUGGACGAUAUGCGAACUGAGCCUACCUCAGAUCGAUUGUUAAGUUUUUUGUGGUGGAAUCAGCCUACUAGGAUUCAAUUUCUAGACUUGACACGAUCCUGUCUGUUGAACAUAUGUAUAUGUGCGUAGGUCUGGGUUUUGAAUGCUGCACCUGUAGUGUCUCUCUUCUCUUGUAUCUUCGUCCCAAAUUUUUUGGCUCAGAUUGUCUAGAUACGGAUGUAUCUAACACUAAAACGUAACUAGAUACAUCCGUAUUUAGACAAAUCUAAGACAAGAAUUUUAGGACGGAGGGAGUACUUAUAUUUUGGAAGACAAGACACCGGUCGCACCCCUUGUACCUAUAUAUAUGUGCCUAAUGCACGGUCAAUCAAUUAUCGAUGCACAAAAUCAUUCUCUACAUGGUAUCUAUCGCAAGUCGAUCCUCCUGCUUCCGCCAACCCUAGCCGCCGCCGCCGCCACCGCCCCACGCCGCCGCCGCCGCCACCGUCCCACGCCGCCACGGCCACCACUUCCCCACGGGCGCCUCCCCUCCCCGCUCGUCCUCUCCUCCCCACCGCGCCGCGCUGCCCUCCCGCCUCACCGUGCCUCUCCCACCGCCGCGCCGCCCUUCCACCGCCGCCCCCCUUCCCCAAACCCUCGCCGCCAUGUCGUCCAACGCCUCCUCCAUCUCCAACCCCUUCGCCGUGGACCCUGCUGAAAUCCGCGACAUCAACAUCCAAGCACGCGUCCCCGUCGUCCCCAAUGCCUCCAACUCCACGUACUUCGCGUGGAAGACCUACUUCUCGUUGCUCUUCCGCGAGAACAACCUCGUGGAUCAUGUUGACGGCACCGUUGACUCCCGUGCCAUGAUGGACGACCCCGAGUGGACCGUGAUCGACGCCCCGAUCAUGCGGUGGUUCUUCACCAUCAUCUCCAAGGACCCGUUUCACACGGUCGUGAGCGACGGUGACGACGCCCGUGCCAUGUGGGUUAAGCUGAACGACCUCUUCACCGACAACAAGCUUCAGCGCCGCGUUUUUUUGCAGUAGGAAUUUUUUGACUGUCACCAGGAUGAACAGUCCAUUGAUGACUACUGCCGCCGCCUGAAGACAUUGGCGGAUGAGCUCCGCGACAUUGGAGCCAAGCUUGAUGACGACCUUCUCCUCAGCAUGCUCACCGCCGGCCUCAACGAGGAUUUCGGCAACGCCGGCUCCAACCUCACCUUGAUGCCGGAGCCUUCCUUCCCCAAGUUCGUGGGGUACUUGCGGUUGGAGGAGCGCCGGAUGAAGGGGAUCAAGAAGCGUGUGCAGCAUCACGCCCUCGCCGCUGGCACCUCCUGUGGCGCCCCACCACCGGCCGCCCCACCCGCGUCGCGCCAUCAGCCGCCGCCCCCCGCGCCUCCGGGGUACUUCCCCCUGCCGCUUGCGCCUCCUUUCCCUCCCGCUGCCCCCAGCAGCCAGGUGGCGGGCGCCGCGGCAACCGCCGCGAGGGCGGCCGCAAGCAGCAACAGGCGCCCGGGGGUGGGGGGCUCGGCAGCAGCGGCAGCAGGCCACCCCUCCAUGGACGUACGGCACCAACCCGUGGAUCAGCGUCGUCCACGCGUACUCGAUGCCGGUCCCUCGGGCUCCCGCUCCGGGCAUCCUUUGGCCUCGUCCGGCGAGCCACCAGGCCCUCUUCGCCGCGCAGAACGCCGCUCCCCAUAGCGGCUAUGGCGCCGCACCCUCGUCCGCGCCCGCCUACGGUGCCGCCACCGCGUCGGCCUACAGAGGGUUUUACCCUCCUUAGGUGCCUCCGUCGUGGGACCCAUCCCUUCUCGCUGCUCUGCACUUCGCCUUGUCACCGAGUUCCUACGGUGGUGAGGUGACUGGUACAUGGACUCGGGCGCCACCGCUCACAUGACUGCUCAUCCCGGUAACCUCACAUCCGCCACUCCUGUUCAUAGUCCCACUCGCGUCACCGUUGGUAACGGUUCCUCUCUACCCAUUACAUAUGCCGAUCAUAUGGCAUUUCCUUGUACUUCUACUCCUGUUAACAUGUCUAAUGUUCUUGUGUCUCCUGACUUAGUCACUAAUCUUGUUCUGUUCGUCAACAUGCUCGUGAGAAUCCUAUCACUGUUGAAUUUGACGAUAUCAGCUUUUCUGUGAAGAACGCCCGUACACGGAUGAUACUCCACCGAUGUGACAGCCCGGACGAGCUUUACCCGGUGCAUCCCUCCGGCGCAACCACCACCCGUCGUCCCGCCGCCCUCGCUGCUAGUGUCGAUCUUUGGCACGCCUGCCUCGGUCAUCCCAACUCCACCAUUAUGCGUCAGAUUCUUCAGGGUUUUUCUUUCUCGUGUAAUAAGGUUGACGACCACACUUGUGAGGCUUGCCGUCUUGGCAAGCACAUCCGUCUUCCCUUUAGCGAGCCUACAAACAUUUCCACCUUUCCGUUUUAGUUAUUGCACAGUAAUGUUUGGAUGUCCCUGGCUGCGAGCAACACGGGUUACUUAUACUAUUUGGUGAUAUUGGAUGAUUUUUCUCAUUAUGUGUGGACAUUCCCUCUUCGUCACAAGUCCGACGCUCUUGCCACACUCACAGCCUUUUAUUCAUAUGUCACCGCACAGUUCAGUUGUCCUAUUCUUGCCUUGCAAACUAACAACGCCAAGGAGUUUGACAACGUCGCCGUCCGCAAUCUUCUUGCGUCCCACGACACCAUCUUUCGACUCACUUGUCCCUACACGUCCUAGUAGAAUGGUCGCGCCGAGCACGUCAUUUGCACUCUUCAUGACUAUGUCCGCACGUUGCUCUUCCACUCCUACGUGCCUCCUCGGUUCUGGCCGGACGCGGUCGUGACCGCCAGCCUCCUUAUUAACAUUCGCCCGUGUCGCCCGCACUGGAACUACACUCCUCACCAGCUCCUCUUCAGUGCGGUUCCAUCUUAUGAUGGUCUUCGCAUUUUCGGGUGUCUCUGUUAUCCUAGCACCGCGUCCACUGCUCCUCACAAACUCGCUCCCAGGUUGCUUCCUUGCAUCUUCCCUAGUUAUCCUCCCAACACCAAAGGUUACCGGUGCUAUGAUCCAGUGUCCCACCGCGUUUUCACUUUGCGGCAUGUGUACUUUGAUGAGCUAGUGUUCCCGUUUCAGCAAGUACCGUCACCCUCGGCAUCUCCCGCGGCGCGGUUCGCCCCCGCCUCCACCUCUCGCAAACCGCCCAGCUGCGCACUGGGCUCGGCCCUGCCUGCGCUCCCCGCGCCGGCGGCCCCCAUCACCGCGGCCGCACCUCUCACCAGUGUGGUCACUCAGGCUCAGACUGGGACACUUCGUCCUAGCACGCGCUACACGUCUGACGAGUACGCUUGCGUUGCGUCUACCUCGACACUGUCUCCGCUCCCCCCUCCGCUCACGCAGCCCUUCGGGAUCUGAACUGCCUAGCUGCGAUGCGUGAGGAGUUUGACGCCCUGCAGCGCAACCGUACGUGGCAGCUUGUUCCGUGGCCUCCCCGUGCCAAUGUCAUCACUGGCAAGUGGGUCUUUCGCCACAAGACUCACCCCGACGGCUCUCUCGGGCGCUACAAGGUGCGUUGGGUUGUGCGCGGCUUCCGCUAGCGUGCCGGCGUGGACUUCACCGACACCUUCGCCCCGGUUGUCAAACCGGGCACGAUUCGCGCGGUUCUUCAGCUUGCUGUUUCUCGCGCCUGGCCAGUUCACCAGCUCGAUGUAUCCAAUGCUUUCUUGCAUGGCCAUCUCGACGAGCAGGUCUUCUGUCGGCAGCCUACUGGUUUCGUUGACACCGACUAUCCGUACUACUGUGCUUGCUCUCCCGUUCUCUCUACGGGUUGAAGCAGGCGCCUCAGGCCUGGUACCAGCGGAUCGCGGCCUUCCUUCAACAGCAGGGGUUCCGGUCCACACGGUCCAAUGCCUCCUAGUUUGUUUAUCACCAGGGCACCGCCACCGCGUACCUCCUCCUGUAUGUCGAUGACAUCAUCCUGACUGCAUCCUCGCCAGCGCUCCUUCAGCAGAUCACAGCUCGCCUCUGCACCGAGUUCGCCCUCAAGGACUUGGGGGCUCUCCACUACUUCCUCGGCAUCGAGGUUGUGCGCCGGGCCACCGGCUUCUUUCUGCACUAGUAGAAGUAUGCCUACGAGCUUCUGGAGAGAGCGGGCAUGCUUAACUGCAAGCCUGCUUCUACGCCUGUCGACACGAAGGCUAACGUGUCUGCCGUCGAGGGUUCUCCAGCGUCCGACGCUACCUUCUACCGCUCCAUCGUUGGUGCUCUUCAGUACCUCAUGCUGACGCGCCCGGACAUUCAGUACGAUGUCCAACAUGUGUGCCUUCAUAUGCAUGCUCCUCGUGGUACUCAUUGGGCUCUGGUGAAACAUAUUAUUCGGUACAUACGUGGCACCACUGCUAUGGGUCUUGAUAUGUCUCCAACGUAUCUAUAAUUUUUGAUUGUUCCAUGCUAUAUUAUAUUCUCUUUUGGACAUUAUUGGACUUUAUUAUACACUUUUAUAUUAUUUUUGGGACUAACCUAUUAACCGGAGCCCAGCCCAGAAUUGCUGUUUUUUGCCUAUUUCAGAGUUUCACCGAAAAAAAUAUCAAACGGAGUCCAAACGGAAUGAAACCUUCGGGAACGUGAUUUUUGGAACGAACGUGACACAGAGGACUUGGACCCUACGUUAAGAAAGCUAUCAGGAAGGCACGAGGUAGGGGGGCGCACCUACCCCCCAGGCGCGCCCUCCACCCUCAUGGGGCCCACAUUGCUCCACCGACGUACUUCUUCCUCCUAUAUAUACCUACGCACCCCAAACUACCAGAUACGGAGCCAAAAACUUAAUUCCACCGCCGCAACCUUCUAUACCCGUGAGAUCCCAUCUUGGGCCUUUUCCGGAGUUCCACCGGAGGGGGCAUCGAUCACAGAGGGCUUUUACGUCAACACCAUAGCCUCUCCGAUGAUGUGUGAGUAGUUUACCUCAGACCUUCGGGUCCAUAGUUAUUAGCUAGAUGGCUUCUUCUCUCUCUUUGGAUCUCAAUACAAAGUUCUCCACGAUUCUCGUGGAGAUCUAUUCGAUGUAAUCUUCUUUUGCGGUGUGUUUGUUGAGACCGAUGAAUUGUGGGUUUAUGAUCAAGUUUAUCUAUGAACAAUAUUUGAAUCUUCUCUGAAUUCUUUUAUGUAUGAUUGGUUAUCUUUGCAAGUCUCUUUGAAUUACCAGUUUGGUUUGGCCUACUAGAUUGAUCUUUCUUGCAAUGGGAGAAGUGCUUAGCUUUGGGUUCAACCUUGCGGUGUCCUUUCCCAGUGACAGUAGGGGCAGCAAGGCACGUAUUGUAUUGUUGCCAUCGAGGAUAACAAGAUGGGGUUUAUAUCAAAUUGCAUGAGUUUAUCCCUGUAUGUCAUGUCAUCUUACUUAAAGCGUUACUCUGUUCCUUUGAACUUAAUACUCUAGAUGCAUGCUGGAUAGCGGUCGAUGAGUGGACUAAUAGUAGUAGAUGCAGACAGGAGUCGGUCUACUUGUCUCAGACAUGAUGCCUAUAUACAUAAUCAUACCUAGAUAUUCUCAUAACUAUGCUCAAUUCUGUCAGUUGCUCAACAGUAAUUUGUUUACCCACCGUAAUGAAGGAAAUAUGCCCUAGAGGCAAUAAUAAAGUUAUUAUUGUUGGAAAUAUGCCCUAGAGGCAAUAAUAAAAUGGUUAUUAUUAUAUUUCCUUGUUCAUGAUAAUUGUCUAUUGUUCAAGCUAUAAUUGUGUUAUCCAGAAAUUGUAAUACAUGUGUGAAUACAUAGACCACAACACGUCCCUAGUGAGCCUCUAGUUGACUAGCUCGUUGAUCAAAAGAUAGUCAUGGUUUCCUGACUAUGGACAUUAGAUGCCAUUGAUAAUAGGAUCACAUCAUUAGGAGAAUGAUGUGAUGGACAAGACCCAAUCCUAAGCAUAGCUCAAAGAUCGUGUAGUUCGUUUGCUAGAGCUUUUCCGAAUGUCAAGUAUCAUUUCCUUAGACCAUGAGAUUAUGCAACUCCCGGAUACCGUAGGAGUGCUUCGGGUGUACCAAACGUCACAAUGUAACUGGGUGACUAUAAAGGUGCACUACGGGUAUCUCCGAAAGUGUCUGUUGGGUUGGCACGAAUCGAGACUGGGAUUUGUCACUCCGUAUGACGGAGAGGUAUCUUUGGGCCCACUCGGUAAUGCAUCAUCAUAAUGAGCUCAAUGUGACCAAGUGGUUGAUCACGGGAUCAUGCAUUAUGGUACGAGUAAAGUGACUUGCCGGUAACGAGAUUGAACGAGGUAUUGGGAUACCGACGAUCGAGUCUCGGGCGAGUAACGUACCGAUUGACAAAGGGAAUUGUAUACGGGAUUGAUUGAAUCCUCGACAUCGUGGUUCAUCCGAUGAGAUCAUCGAGGAGCAUGUGGGAGCCAACAUGGGUAUCCAGAUCCGCUGUUGGUUAUUGAUCGGAGAGUCGUCUCGGUCAUGUCUGUGUGUCUCCCGAACCCAUAGGGUCUACACGCUUAAGGUUCGGUGAUGUUAGGGUUGAAGAGAUAUUAAUAUGCGGUAACCUAAAAGCUGUUCGGAGUCUCGGAUGAGAUCCCGGACGUCACGAGGAGUUCCGGAAUGGUCCGGAGGUGAAGAAUUAUAUAUAUAUAUAUAUGGAAGUCCAGUUUCGGCCAUCGGGAAAGUUUCAGGGGUCACUGGUAUUGUACCGGGACCAUCGGAAGGGUCUCGGGGGUCCACCGGGUGGGGCCACCUAUCCUGGAGGGCCCCAUGGACUGAAGUGGGUAAGGGAACCAGCCCCUGGUGGGCUGGUGCGCCCCCCUUGGGCCUCCCCCUAUGCCUAGGGUUGGAAACCCUAGGGGUGGGGGCGCCCCACUUGGCUUGGGGGGCAAGCCACCCCUCUUGGCCGCCCCCCCCCUUUGAGAUCCAAUCUCUAGGGCCGGCGCCCCCCCUAGGGGCCCUAUAUAUAGUGGGGGGAGGGAGGGCAGCCGCACCAAGCCCCUGGCGCCUCCCUCUUCCUCCCGUGACACCUCUCCCUCUCGCUGAGCUUGGCGAAGCCCUGCCGAGAUCACCGUUGCUUCCACCACCACGUCGUCGUGCUGCUAGAUCUCCAUCAACCUCUCCUUCCCCCUUGCUGGAUCAAGCAGGAGGGGACGUCUUCCCAACCGUACGUGUGUUGAACGCGGAGGUGCCGUCCGUUCGGCGGAUCAUUGGUGAUUUGGAUCACGACGAGUACGACUCCAUCAACCCCGUUCUCUUGAACGCUUCCGCUCGCGAUCUACAAGGGUAUGUAGAUGCACUCCCCUUUCCCUCGUUGCUAGAUAACUCCAUAGAUUGAUCUUGGUGAUGUGUAGAAAAUUUUAAAUUCGGCUACGUUCCCCAACAAUGGCAUCAUGAGCUAGGUCUAUGCGUAGUUUCUAUGCACGAGUAGAACACAAAGCAGUUGUGGGCGUCGAUAUUGUCAAUUUACUUGCCGUUACUAGUCUUAUCUUGAUUCGGCGGCAUUGUGGGAUGAAGCGGCCCGGACCGACCUUACACGUACGCUUACGUGAGACUGGUUCCAUCGACUGACAUGCACUAGUUGCAUAAGGUGGCUAGUGGGUGUCUGUCUCUCCCACUUUAGUCGGAUCGGAUUCGAUGAAAAGGGUCCUUAUGAAGGGUAAAUAGAAAUUGGCAUAUCAAGUUGUGGUUUUGGCGUAGGUAAGAAACGUUCUUGCUAAGAAACCUAUAGCAGCCACGUAAAAAUUUGCAACAACAAUUAGAGGACGUCUAACUUGUUUUUGCAGCAUGUGCCGUGUGAUGUGAUAUGGACAAAAAGGAUGUGAUGAAUGAUAUAUGUGAUGUAUGAGAUUGAUCAUGUUCUUGUAAUAGGAAUCACGACUUGCAUGUCGAUGAGUAUGACAACCAGCAGGAGCCAUAGGAGUUGUCUUAAUUUAUUUAUGACCUGCGUGUCAACAUAUAACGUCAUGUAAUUACUUUACUUUAUUGCUAAACCGUUAGCCAUAGUAGUAGAAGUAAUAGAUGACGAGACAACUUCAUGAAGACACGAUGAUGGAGAUCAUGAUGAUGGAGAUCAUGGUGUCAUGCCAGUGACGACGAUGAUCAUGGCACCCCGAAGAUGGAGAUCAUAAGGAGCUAAAUGAUAUUGGCCAUAUCAUGUCACUAUUUAAUUGAAUGUGAUGUUUAUCAUGUUUUACAUCUUAUUUGCUUAGAACGACGGUAGAUUAAAUAAGAUGACCCCUCGCACUAAUUUCAAGAAAGUGUUCCCCCUAACUGUGCACCGUUGCGAAGGUUCGUUGUUUCGAAGCACCACGUGAUGAUCGGGUGUGAUAGUCUAACGUUCGAAUACAACGGGUGUAAGCCAGAUUUACACACACAAUACACUUAGGUUGACUUGACGAGCCUAGCAUGUACAAACAUGGCCUCGGAACACGGAAGACCGAAAGGUCGAGCGUGAGUCGUAUAGAAGAUAUGAUCAACAUGAAGAUGUUCACCGAUGUUGACUAGUCCGUCUCACGUGAUGAUCGGACACGGCCUAGUCGACUCGGAUCAUGUUUCACUUAGAUGACAAGAGGGAUGUCUAUCUGAGUGGGAGUUCAUUGAAUAAUUUGAUUAGAUGAACUUAAUUAUCAUGAACUUAGUCUAAAAUCUUUGCAAUAUGUCUUGUAGAUCAAAUGGCCCACGCUAAUGUUGCCCUCAACUUCAACGCGUUCCUAGAGAAAACCAAGCUGAAAGAUGAUGGCAGCAACUAUACGGACUGGGUCCGGAACCUGGGGAUCAUCCUCAUAGCUGCCAAGAAAGAUUAUGUCCUAGAAGCACCACUGAGUGACGCACCCAUCCCAGAGAACCAAGACGUUAUGAACGCUUGGCAGUCACGUGCUGAUGAUUACUCCCUCGUUCAGUGCGGCAUGCUUUACAGCUUAGAACCGGGGCUCCAAAAGCGUUUUGAGCAACACGGAGCAUAUGAGAUGUUCGAAGAGCUGAAAAUGGUUUUCCAAGCUCAUGCCCGGGUCAAGAGAUAUGAAGUCUCCGAUAAGUUCUUCAGUUGUAAGAUGGAGGAAAAUAGUUCUGUCAGUGAGCACAUACUCAAAAUGUCUAGGUUGCACAACCGCUUGACUCAGCUGGGAGUUAAUCUCCCGGAUGACGCGGUCAUUGACAGAAUCCUUCAGCCGCUUCCACCGAGCUACAAGAGCUUUGUGAUGAACUUCAAUAUGCAGGGGAUGGAAAAGACCAUUCCUGAGGUAUAUUCAAUGCUGAAAUCAGCGGAGGUGGAGAUCAAAAAGGAACAUCAAUUGUUGAUGGUGAAUAAAACCACUAAGUUUAAGAAAGGCAAGGGUAAGAAGAACUUCAAGAAGGACGGCAAGGGGGUUGCCGCGCCCGGUAAGCUAGCUGCCGGGAAGAAGCCAAAGAAUGGACCCAAGCCCGAGACUGAGUGUUUUUAUUGCAAAGGAAGUGGUCACUGGAAGCGGAACUGCCCCAAAUACUUAGCGGACAAGAAGGCCGGCAACACUAAAGGUAUAUGUGAUAUACAUGUGAUUGAUGUGUACCUUACCAGUACUCGUAAAAGCUCCUGGGUAUUUGAUACCGGUGCGGUUGCUCACAUUUGUAACUAAAAGCAGGAGCUGCGGAAUAAGCGGAGACUGGCGAAGGAUGAGGUGACGAUGCGCGUCGGGAAUGGUUCCAAGGUCGAUGUGAUCGUCGUCGGCACGCUACCUCUACGUUUACCUAUGGGAUUAAUUUUAAACCUCAAUAAUUGUUAUUUAGUGCCAGCUUUGAGCAUGAACAUUGUAUCAGGAUCUCGUUUAAUUCGAGAUGGCUACUCAUUUAAAUCCGAGAAUAAUGGUUGUUCUAUUUAUAUGAGAGAUAUGUUUUAUGGUCAUGCCCCGCUGGUAAAUGGUUUAUUCUUAAUGAAUCUCGAGCGUAAUGUUACACAUAUUCAUAGUGUGAAUACCAAAAGAUGUAAGGUUGAUAAUGAUAGUCCCACAUACUUGUGGCACUGCCGCCUUGGUCACAUAGGUGUCAAACGCAUGAAGAAGCUCCAUGCAGAUGGACUUUUGGAGCAUCUUGAUUACGUAUCAUUUUACACGUGCGAACCAUUCCUCAUGGGUAAAAUGACCACUCCGUUCUCAGGAACAAUGGAGCGAGCAACCAACUUAUUGGAAAUCAUACAUACUGAUGUGUGCGGUCCAAUGAGUGUUGAGGCUCGCGGUGGCUAUCGUUAUGUUCUCACCCUCACUGUUGACUUAAGUAUAUAUGGGUAUGUCUACUUAAUGAAACACAAGUCUGAGACCUUUGAAAAGUUCAAGGAAUUUCAGAGUGAGGUUGAGAAUCAACGUGACAGGAAAAUCAAGUUCUUGCGAUCAGAUCGUGGGGGAGAAUACUUGAGUCACGAAUUUGGCAUGCACUUAAGGAAAUGUGGAAUAGUUUCACAACUCACGCCGCCUGGAACACCUCAGCGUAAUGGUGUGUCCGAACGUCGUAAUCGCACUCUAUUGGAUAUGGUGCGAUCUAUGAUGUCUCUUACCGAUCUACUGCUGUCAUUUUGGGGCUAUGCUUUAGAGACUGCCGCAUUCACUUUAAAUAGGUCUCCAUCGAAAUCCGUUGAGAUGACACCAUAUGAAUUAUGGUUUGGGAAGAAACCUAAGCUGUCGUUUCUAAAUCAGAAAAAUGCGUCUUCAUUGGAUAGCGUAAAGAAACUAUUGGGUAUACCUUCUACCUCAGAUCCGAAGGCAAGAUCUUUGUUGCCAAGAAUGGAUCCUUUCUGGAGAAAGAGUUUCUCUCGAAAGAAGUAAGUGGGAGGAAAGUAGAACUUGAUGAAGUAUUGCCUCUUGAACCGGAGAGUGGCGCAACUCAAGAAAAUGUUCCUGAGGUGCCUGCACCGACUAGAGAGGAAGUUAAUGAUGAUGAUCAUGAAACUUCAGAUCAAGUUGCUACUGAACUUCGUAGGUCCACAAGGACACGUUCCACACCAGAGUGGUAUGGAAACCCUCUCUUGGAAAUCAUGUUGUUAGACAAUGGUGAACCUUCGAGCUAUGAGGAAGCGAUGGCGGGCCCAGAUUCCGACAAAUGGCUAGAAGCCAUGAAAUCCGAGAUUAUGCAACUCCCGUUUACCGGAGGAACACUUUGUGUGCCACCAAACGUCACAACGUAACUGGGUGAUUAUAAAGGUGCUCUACAGGUGUCUCCGAAGGUACUUGUUGGGUUGGCGUAUUUCGAGAUUAGGAUUUGUCACUCCGAUUGUUAGAGAGGUAUCUCUGGGCCCACUCGGUAAUGCACAUCACUAUAAGCCUUGCAAGCAUUGCAACUAAUGAGUUAGUUGCGGGAUGAUGUAUUACGGAACGAGUAAAGAGACUUGCUGGUAACGAGAUUGAACUAGGUAUUGAGAUACCGACGAUCGAAUCUCGGGCAAGUAACAUACCCAUGACAAAGGGAACAACGUAUGUUGUUAUGCGGUUUGACCGAUAGAGAUCUUCGUAGAAUAUGUAGGAGCCAAUAUGAGCAUCCAGGUUCUGCUAUUGGUUAUUGACCGGAGACGUGUCUCGAUCAUGUCUACAUAGUUCUCGAACCCUUAGGAUCCGCACACUUAAAGUUCGAUGAUGGUUAUAUUAUGAGUUUAUGUGUUUUGAUGUACCGUAGGAGUUCGGAGUCCCGAAUGAGAUCGGGGACAUGACGAGGAGUCUCGAAAUAGUCGAGACGUAAAGAUCGAUAUAUUGGACGACUAUAUUCGGAUAUCAGAAAGGUUCCGAGUGAUUCGGGUAUUUUCGGGAGUACCGGGGAGUUACGGGAAUUCGUAUUAGGCCUUAAUGGGCCAUACGGGAAAGGAGAAAAAGGCCUCAAAGGGUGGCCGCACCCCUCCACAUGGGCUGGUCCGAAUUGGACUAGGGAGGGGGCGCCCCCUGCCUUCCUUCUCCUUUUCCCUUCCCUUUCCUUCUCUCCUACUCCUACUACUUGGAAGGGCUCCUAGUUCUACUUGGAAAGGGGGAAUCCUACUCCCGGUGGGAGUAGGACUCCCCUAGGGCGCGCCAUAGAGAGGGCUGGCCCCUCCCCUCCUCCACUCCUUUAUAUACGUGGUCAGGGGGCACCCCAUAGACACAACAAUUGAUCUCUUGAUCUCUUAGCCGUGUGCGGUGCCCCCCUCCACCAUAAUCCACCUCGAUCAUAUCGUAGCGGUGCUUAGGGGAAGCCAUGCGUCGGUAGAAAAUCAUCAUCGUCACCACACCGUCGUGCUGACAAAACUCUCCCUCAACACUCGGCUGGAUCGGAGUUUGAGGGACGUCAUCGAGUUGAACGUGUGCAGAACUCGGAGGUGUCGUGUUGUUCGGUACUUGAUCGGUCGGAUCGUGAAGACGUACGACUACAUCAACCGCGUUGUGCUAACGCUUCCGCUUUUGGUCUACGAGGGUACGUGGACAACACUCUCCCCUCUCAUUGCUAUGCACCACCAUGAUCUUGCGUGUGCGUAGGAUUUUUUUUGAAAUUACUGCGUUCCCCAACACGUAAUACUUAUGCUCUCGAGAGAAGCCACUAGUGAAACCUAUGGCCCUCGGGUCUAUUUUCCAUUAUAUUAAUCUCCCAUUAACAAGCUAUUUCUAGUGCCGUUUUUAUUUCGCUUUAUUUACUUUGCAUAUUUAUCAUAGAAAUACCAAAAAUAUUAUCUUAUCAUAUUUAUCAUAUCUCACUUUCGUAAGUGACCGUGAAGGGAUUGACAACCCCUUUAUUGCGUUGGUUGCGAGGAUUUUAUUUGUUUGUGUAGGUGCGAGGGGCUCGUGCGUGGCCUCCUACUAGAUUGAUACCUUGGUUCUCAAAAACCGAGGGAAAUACUUACGUUACUUUGCUGCAUCACCCUUUCCUCUUCAAGGGAAAACCAACGCAGUGCUCAAGAGGUAGUAGGUCUCACCCUGACGGCAUCAGCUGACACCAUCCUUAUCGCCUACUCCGACGCCGACUGGGCUGGGUGUCCCGACACUCGACGCUCCACUUCCGGCUACUGCGUAUACCUCGGGCCCUCUCUGAUUUCAUGGUCGUCUAAACGACAACCCAUGGUCUCACGAUCGAGCACCGAGGCUGAGUACAGGGCAGUGGCCAACGUCGUCGCAGAGUGCUCUUGGCUACGACAACUACUUUAGGAGUUGCUAUGUGAGGUCACCAAGGCUACGCUUGUCUACUGCGACAACAUUUCCGCAGUGUACCUUGCUGCCAACCCUGUCCAUCACCGAUGGACGAAGCAUAUUGAGCUCGACAUUCACUUCAUCAGGGAGCACGUCACACUUGGUCGUAUUCGAGUUCUACAUGUGCCCACCGAUCAGCAGUUCGCUGAUACGAAGGGACUACCCACCUCGAUGUUCGAGGGCUUUCGGUCCAGUCUCUGCAUCACNNNNNNNNNNNNNNNNNNNNNNNNNNNNNNNNNNNNNNNNNNNNNNNNNNNNNNNNNNNNNNNNNNNNNNNNNNNNNNNNNNNNNNNNNNNNNNNNNNNNNNNNNNNNNNNNNNNNNNNNNNNNNNNNNNNNNNNNNNNNNNNNNNNNNNNNNNNNNNNNNNNNNNNNNNNNNNNNNNNNNNNNNNNNNNNNNNNNNNNNNNNNNNNNNNNNNNNNNNNNNNNNNNNNNNNNNNNNNNNNNNNNNNNNNNNNNNNNNNNNNNNNNNNNNNNNNNNNNNNNNNNNNNNNNNNNNNNNNNNNNNNNNNNNNNNNNNNNNNNNNNNNNNNNNNNNNNNNNNNNNNNNNNNNNNNNNNNNNNNNNNNNNGUGUGUGCCUAGUGCACGAUCAAUCAAUUAUCGAUGCACAAAAUCAUUCCCUACAAUGUUGACUGCGAAAACUUCCGUGAUGACUUCGUCAGUGUAUGUGCGUGUGUAUGAGCAUCUUAGUUGAUAUUGUAAGCCUCUGUGUAGAACAUGUUAUCUGUUGAUGUCGUAUGCCUGAUAAGUCAUGAGCACUAGUAGAAAAAGGGUCAAAUGUUCAACUCAUUAGUCCCGGUUUGUAAUUGAGCCGGCACUAAUGUGAUCAUUAGUGCCGGUUCCAACGGCUAGCUGGGCCACUAUCAUUAGUACCGGUUCGUGGCGAAUGUUUAGCACCGGUUCGUGCCACGAACCGGUACUAAAGAGAGUGGUGACAGGAUGUUGUCAGUCUGGGCCCCUCCAACACCUUUAGUAUCGGUUCGUGGCACGAACCGGUGCUAAAGGUCGUCCUAUAUCAACCCUUCGUCCACCCGCGAUCGUGCUCUCUCUGUUUUUCCCCCUUUACCCUCUCCUCUCUGUUCUUCCCCCUCUACCUCGAGCUCAUCUCACAUUUUGCCAAAAUUUUGUCAACAUUUGAAGGCCCCCAUCCAUUCAAGUGAUCACAAAGGUAAGUGUUGACGCUCAAAAAUGGCAUGAUCGCAAAGAGUAACUUGAGGCUAUAAUGAGAUUAUGUCAAAUUCAUGAUUUCGUGUCACCAUUGGAUGACUCUCUUUAAGACGAUGGGAAUAAAUAUAUAGAUGGUCCAAAACGGAGCUCGGAUGCAAAAGUUAUGACAAUCUUAGAGAUGUUCGUAUUGACACCAGAUUAGAAAAUGGCAUGAAACCUAGCCAAGAUGGCCUCUGAUGGAAAAAAGUUACAACUGCAAAGUUCUUCGUCUCGUUGAAACGGACGAUUUUAAUAUAAAAAUCAUCCUCAUCCGAGAUCGUAUGCAAAAGUUACAGGCAAAACAGUGGGUUGCAGCAGUAUUUGGCCAGAUCAUCCGGGCCGGGAUCCGGACCAUCCGGCCUUCGGCCGGAUGAAUGACCCGAACAUCCGGGCUAUCAUUCGGGUAAAUCAACAGAACCAUAAAUUUCGGGCCCCGUGAAGCCAGAUCAUCCGGAUGGCACCCACAUCAUCUGGGUAAAGUCCGGAUAAUCCGGACAUGAAUCCAGACGUCCGAAUAAGUUUUUCUGCUGCAGACUUUAGAAAACGACCCGAAACACCCCCAAUAUGGCCUCAGAUAGAAAAGUGUUCAACAUGCAAGUUGUGCGCCUCGUCAAAGCGGUUGAUUUGGAUAUAAAAAACGUCCAAACCCGAGGUCGUAUGUGGAUUCUAGAGCCAAAACAGUAAGCCGUUGUUAGGAAACUGUGCUAGGCCGGAUCAUCUGGGCCGGAAGUCGUGAGAAGUCCGAAUUUGGCUAGAUUUUGAUGAUUUGGACGACAAUGCAAGUCCUUUUCUUGUACGGGAAGUCCAUCCGCCUCUUAUAUAGACGAGUGGUGACGGCCGAUUCAGCAACAACACACAAUCGGACAAAUCUAUCUAUAUCUUUACCUUUACUUUUCCUUCUCCCUUGUUAUUCUUCUUCCUCGUUCUUCGUUCGUUCUUGUUCAUUGCAGAUCGGCGAACCUCGAGGCCCUAGGGGCGGUCAGACCGACCUAGGGCAGCCCAUAGCCGCUGCGCGCCCUGACGGGGUCCCUCCCGGGCGUGUGGGGUUUCGGGUCCUCAAAAGCACCCGCUGGAUUGCUUGCGUGCCGCGCUUCCGGAUGGGUCUCCUUCGACGUGAGCUGCGGUGCAUCACCCUCGGCAUUGGAGGCACACGGUGAUGUGUUCGUGUCCGAACAGUAAGCAGCUUUGUCAUUUCAUCUCUCAUUGCUAGAUUAGCUUUUGCAAUGCUUUAUAUAGUCAUUAAUUUAUGGGUUCUAGUAAUUUGGGAGGAAUUAUAUGUGGUAGUUUAUUUGAUUUAUAUGCAAUCUGAGCUCAAAAUAACUCUUAGUUUGAAUAUGUAGGUGUGGUUUACUUAGUGCCUUCCCAUCUCCGUCCUAACCACCGUCGAUCGUCCGCACCGUCUUGUCGCCGGCACCACCUUGUGGGAUGAGCCUCUUGUUCUUAUCUUUUUUAUAUAUAAAAUCAUGUUUGUGUGAUUUAGAUAUAUAGUUACUUGUAUAAUUAUCUUACCCGUACGUUGUUUGUUAUUCAUAGUGCCAUGGUUUUGAUAUCCGUCCCCGCCGACCCUCGUCCGGAUUAUGAUUUGGAUGUGGUAUAUUUUCUUUUAUAACUAUUUUGUUGCAUUUUGUGUUUUAUGACAAAUUAUGCCCAUCAAGUUGACAUAGACAUUUUUAUCUAGGAGGUAUGUGAACCGGAAAUUCCAACCGACCCUAUUGUCGAGAGGUUAAAUUUAGUUGAAAAAGAAAACGAGUAUUUGAAAGAAAAAUUGAAAAGAAUUGAGGAGAAGAUGGAAUUGGAGUUGCAUGUUGCCAAUGUCGUCGAUGAUCACAAGAUCAAGAUGGAGAAAAUGCGCUUGAAGAUUAGAAAGAUUAGAAAAUAUGACAUUGAUAGUGAGGCUUGGUAUCAUUAUGCUGUUGGAUCAAUUGUUACCUUAGUUGCGAUCUUGAUCGCAUUUGUUCUUGCAUUUAAAUUCUUUAGCUAGAGAGUUAUUUAUAUGUUUUUUAUGAGAAUAAGUAUUGUAUGAACUUGUAUUAAUUUGGUCUAUUCGGUAUUGUGUAAUGAAGAUGAGCCGGCAAUGGAUGUACGAUGACCGAUGCUCUCCCCAGUUCGUUGAGGGCGUGCAUACUUUUCUGAUUGCGCUCAGGCAAACAAGCGGGCGAAUGGUUUUAUGCCUUGUCCAUGUGCUGGCUGUAAGGAUGAUCACAAUUACUCUAACUCAAGAACCAUUCACGUCCACCUGUUUGAGUCCGGUUUCAUACCCCACUAUAUUGUUUGGACCAAGCAUAGAGAAAGAGGGGUUAUGAUGGAAGAAAAUGAAGAAGAAAAGGACGACGAUAGCUAUCCUGGCCAUGGGUUCCCUGAAUACAAUGAUACAACAAUGGGGGAAGAAGCUGAGCCGGCAAGCAGGAAGAAGCUGAACAAGAGGCAUCAUAUGAGCCAACUGAUGAUCUAGGUCAGGCCAUUGCCGAUGCAGAGAGAAACUGCGCAAGUGCAAAGGAGAAGAAUAAGUUGCAGCGCAUGUUAGAGGAUCACAAGAAAUUGUUGUACCCGAAUUGCGAAACUGACAAUAAAAAGCUGGGCACCACAUUGGAAUUAUUACAAUGGAAGGCAGAGAAUGGUGUAUCUGACAAGGCAUUUGGAAAGUUGCAGGUAAAGUUAAAGAAGAUGCUUUGAAUGGACAACGAAUUGCCCGAGAGUACGUACGAAGCAAAGAAGGAUGUCUGCCCUCUAGGGUUAGAAGUGCAGAAGAUACAUGCAUGCCCUAAUGACUACAUCCUCUACCGCGGUGAGCACACGGAUUUGAACGCAUGCCCGGUAUGCGGUGCAUUGCACUAUAAGAUUAGCCACGAUGACCCUGGUGAUGUCGAGGGUGAGCGCCCUUGGAAGAAUAUUCCGGCCAAGGUGAUGUGGUAUGCUCCUAUAAUACCAUGGUUGAAACGUUUGUUCCUAAACAAAGAGCAUGCCAAGGCGAUGCGAUGGCACAGAGAAGACCGUAAGAAAGACGGAAAGUUGAGAGUACCCGCUGACGGGUCGUAGUGGAGAAAAAUAGAUAGAACGCAUAAGAAGGAGUUUGCAGGUGACGCAAGGAACGUAUGGUUUGGUCUAAGCGCAGAUGGCAUUAAUCCUUUUGGGGAGCAGAGCAGCAACCAUAGCACCUGGCCUAUGACUCUAUGUUUGUAUAAUCUUCCUCCUUGGUUGUACAUGAAGCGGAAGUUCAUUAUGAUGCCAGUGCUCAUCCAAGGCCCUAAGCAACCCGGCAAUGACAUUGAUGUGUACCUAAGGCCAUUAGUUGAAGAACUCUUACAGCUAUGGAAUGGAACAGGUGUACGUGCAUGGGAUGAGCACAGACAGGAAGAAUUUGACCUAAAGGCGUUGCUGUUCGUGACCAUCAAUGAUUGGCCUGCUCUCAGUAACCUUUCAGGACAGACAAACAAGGGAUACCACGCAUGCACGCACUGUUUAGAUGAUACCGACAGUAUAUAUUUGGAUAAUUGUAGGGAGAAUGUGUACCUGGGAUAUCAUUGAUUUCUUCUGAGUAGGCAUCCCGUAAGAAAGAAAGGCAAGCAUUUCAAAGGUGAGGCGGAUCACCGGACGAAACCUCACCACCGUACUGGUGCUAAUGUACAUGAUAUGGUCAAGGAUUUGAAGGUAAUCUUUGGAAAGGGUCCUAGCGGACAACCUGUUCCAAAUGACGCUGACGGACAUGCAUCCAUGUGGAAGAAGAAAUCUAUAUUUUGGGACCUGCCCUAUUGGAAAGACCUAGAGGCCCGCUCCGCUAUCGACGUGAUGCACGUGACGAAAAAUCUUUGCAUGACCCUGCUUGGCUGCUUGGGCGUGUAUGGGAAAAGAUACACCUGAGGCAUGGGAGGACCAGCAACGUAUGCACGGAAAAGACGGCAUACAUCAGCGUCAUGCCAGCUACGGUCUUACCAAAGAAGAGAAGGAAAUCUUCUUUGAAUGCCUGCUCAGUAUGAAGGUACCGUCUCGCUUCUCGUCGAAUAUAAAGAGAAUAAUAAAUAUGGCAGAGAAAAAGUUCCAGAAUCUAAAGUCUCAUGACUGCCACGUGAUUAUAACACAACUGCUUCCGGUUGCAUUGAGGGGGCUUCUACCGGAAAACGUUCGAUUAGCCAUUGUGAAGCUAUGUGCAAUCCUCAAUGCGAUCUCUCAGAAGGUAAUCGAUCUAGAAAUCAUACCAAGGUUAGAGAAUGAUUUGGUGCAAUGUCUCGUCAGUUUCGAGUUGGUGUUCCCACCAUACUUCUUCAACAUCAUGAGGCACGUCCUAGUUCACCUAUGCGAAGAGAUUAACCUUUUGGGUCCUAUAUUUCUACACAAUAUGUUCCCCUUUGAGAGGUUCAUGGGAGUCUUAAAGAAAUAUGUUCAUAACCGUGCUAGGCCAGAAGGAAGCAUCUCGAAGGGCCAUGAAAAUGAGGAGGUCAUUGAGUUUUGUAUUGACUUUAUUCCUAACCUUAAGCCGAUUGGUGUUCCUGAAUCACGACAUAAGGGCAGACUGGAUGGAAAAGGCACGCUAGGAGGGGAUCACAUAAUAUGUAUGGACGGGCAUUCUCUCACUCAAGCACACUACACAGUUCUACAGAAUUCCACCUUGGUGGCUCUGUAUAUGGAGGAACACAAGAAUUUUCUAUGCUCCAAACACCCGGAGCAGUCUGACGACUGUAUUACACGUGAACAAACGGGGACUUUCGCCGGUUGGUUGCAGACAUGUGCCAUGCAUGACGCCGCUAUUGAAGAUGCCAUGUACUUGUUGUCCCAGUUACCAUCUUCGAAUAUAAUGACUUUCAAAGGGUAUGAGAUAAAUGGGAAUACAUUUUACACGAUCGCCCAAGAUAAGAAGAGCACCAACCAAAACAGUGGUGUCCUCUUUGAUGCAGCAACCAAGACGGGAAAGGAAACAUAUUAUGGUUACAUAGAGGACAUAUGGGAACUUGACUAUGGACGUGGUUUGAAGGUCCCUUUGUUUCGGUGCAAAUGGGUCAAUAUGACACGAGGCGGGGUAACGGAAGACCCGUAGUACGGAAUGACAAUAGUGGAUCUCAACAAUCUUGCAUAUGCAGACGAACCAUUCAUCCUAGCCAAUGAUGUGGCACAGGUUUUCUAUGUGAAGGACAUGUCUACCAAUCCAAGAAAAAGAAAAGAUAAGGAAGCAAAUGCAUCAUACGAUGAGCCAAAGCGCCACAUAGUUCUUUCAGGGAAAAGAAACAUCGUGGGGGUGGAUGACAAGACAGACAUAUCAGAAAAUUAUGAAAAGCUUGAUGAAAUUGCUCCAUUCACAGUGAAUAUUGACCCGAGCAUUCAGUUAAAUGAUGAAGAUUGUCCAUGGUUACGGCGCAAAGGGACACACGCGAGGAAAAAGUUUCACACCCAAAGAUCCCACUCUGGGAUGUGGUCGGCUUCACUGUCAUCACUUUCUUCUCUAGUGAGUUUCCGGACUUAUAUAUCUGGAAAGUCCUGCUUUGAACAAACCGAAGGGAAUCUUUUUAACAGUUAGGGUACUUAUGUGUUUUGGCAUUUGAAACGCGAAGAAAUUUUAUGUGCAAACAAAUUCUUUCAUGCAUUUACUGAUUUUUUCAGCUAAAUGGCCCUCAAAUUGAAAAACACUUCAAAUGAACUCUAAAAAAGGUUGAAAGUUGGCAUGGUAUCAUAAUUUCACCCACAUAGCACGUGCAAAAAAGUAGAGAGGGUUACGGCAAAAACUGGAUGCACUUCGUGUAUGAAAUGGACAAUCUCUUUCGAAGUAUCAGGGUUUCGGAUGAAAAAUCAUCUGUUACAAAGGCAUUUCAUUUUUUAAAUAACCUAUGUAUUACCAAAUUGAAUAUAACGAUAAAAACUAAUAUUCACAAAGAAAUUCUAAAUACAGCAAAAAAACAACUCAAAAAUAAUUAAAAUAAAAUAAAUAAAGCAGAAAAGAAAAAAAAGAAAAACUAAAUAAAGAAAGCCCGCCUGUGGGCCACAGCGGCCUGCAUACGACUAGGAACCCAACCUCUAGUUGGGCCAGGAUGCAGGCCCGCUAGCCUAGUAGGCCCAACAGGGCAUCACAACAGAGAUAGGCCCAGAAGGUCUGCUUUAGAGAGGAGCUCGAGACAGCAGCAACGGCGGGGCUUAUAAGCAAGUGCGGGCGCCCCUCGGCUAGCGAGGUGGGACUAAACUUUUGCACCCCUCGUCUGACAGCGCACGACCUUUAGUACCGGGUCAUGGCUCCAACCGGUACUAAAGGGGGGGGUCUUUAGUACUGGUUGGAGCCACCACCUGGUACUAAAGGUGUGCCGUUCCCGCCGCUUGUCCUGGCCAAAUUUGACUUUUAGUACUGGUUGGUGGCUCCAACCGGUACUAAAGGUCAUCCCUAUAUAUACAAUACUUAUCAAAAUUUUAGUUUCUUCUCAUCGGCUUCUUCAACCCCGUCGCCGUCGACGUCACCGCCCCCGUCGCGCCUCCCCGUCGACUCCGCGCCGCCCCGUCCCCGUCACGUCAUCACCGUCGACUCCGCGUCGCCCCAUCAUCGGCCCAUCCCCGUCGCCAUCCCCUCGCCUCGCCGUCACCGUCGCCUUGGACCUCGCCUCGCCGUCGCAGUCGCCUCGACCUCGCCCAUGCUGUGAGCCCCUCUCCUCCCUCUCCUCCCUCCAAUCGAAGCCGCCACGCCGCCGGCGCCGUAGGUGCACACACGCGCACAUACACCACACACACACUACACAAUUUUUAUGUUUUAGCUAUAGAUGAAUUAAUUAAUUAUAUACUUUUAGUUCUAGAUAUAUUAAUGUUAUAGAAAUGUUAGAAAUGUUAUUAGUUAUAUAGAAAUGUUCGUUUUAGCUAGAGUAAUUUCAAAUUGUUAGACGAUGAUCGAUGUCUUAUUACUUUCUUAUAAUUUUAGUUAUAGAAAUUUAGAAUUUGCAUAUAAGAAAUCACAAUCCAAUCAUUUAAAAAUGUUACUUUUGUGGCAUAUAGUAUUUGUUCUCAACGAUGCCCAGCCCGCAUCCUCGUUGUCGACCCGUUCGCGACGACGUCCUGCUUCAGAGGACCCAUGUCCGGGACUGGGCUCCGUCGGGCUGGCACUGGGAGGUGCUACCUUCAGGGGCUCGCCGCUUGGUGAGGAACCCGGCCCUGGGUCCCGUCGUCGACCCUGAGCUCCUUUGGCGGCGUUCGCAUGGGCCACUUUCGGUGCAGAGGGAGCCGGCCCCGCCGGAGGUGGUGCGUCACCGUGUUAGGGAGGAGGACGAGCACGUCCGUCGCUACAUGGCUGCUAUGGACGUCAGGUUCUCCAAUACCUGGCAGGUUCUUUGGGGAGAUGACCGGAGCUAUGAUCCUAUGAUGGUUCCUUCUCUUUGGGUGUCCACCGCCCGCGCCUCAGGAACCGCGAGUGGCCUAGAUUAUUCUGUAGUAUUUGAUCUUUAUUAGCUAGCUAGCUAGUGAUGUAUUCGAUAUAUAAUAUUCGAGACAAUGCAUUCGAGAUUAUAUAAUAUUCGAGACGAUGUAUUCGAGAUUAUAUAUUAUUCGAGACGAUGCAUAUUAUGUACUAUGAUUCAGUUUUUCCUUACUGAUUGCAUGCAUGCAUUGUAAUUUGAAUACUAAAUUGUUUUAUAUUUCUUCUGGAUUAGUUAAAUAAAAGCUAUGGCGGACAAUACUGGCAGAGUGGGAGAAGAGGUCCUGUUCGAGAUCAUACGCUCCCCUCACAGGCCAGAUGAUCAGAAUGAAGAAUAUGAUGGCUCCCAAUAUCUGAACAAUACCGGGGAGGAUGAUGAUAACGGGGAGGGUGAUGGUACCGGGGAGGGUGAUGAUAUGAUAUUCGAUCGCGACGACCAAAUUGAUGAAGUCAUGAACUAUGAUUCUGAUGACGCCAAAAAUGUUGAUCUUGAAAUAACAGAGACCGGCGAGGUAUAUUUAUAUAAGCAGGCAUCUGGUGAUCAUCACAUGUUUUAAAUGAUUUGAAGAUAUAUGAACAAAUUGAUCUUUCUUCUUUCAGCCCUCCGGAUCAAGCAAAUCUUCUGCAGGCAACAGGACAGUGCGAGGCCCGGGAAAAAAGUUGAAGAAUGGCGUAAAGUACAAAUCGAUGCCAUCAGAACUGAUGGCGAACCAGUAGCGCCUAAGAACAUUGCGAACAAGUCCGUUCGUCAGUGCGGAGUUCUUGUGAAGGACCAACUCCCGAUCUCCCUUCAAGAAUGGAAGGAGCCGGCAAAUAAAUGUCCAGAUCUUACUUUUGUCGACGACAAAGCAAAAUCUUUGCUUUGGGAAAAACUCAUGGAACAUUUCACCCUGCCAGAUCAUUUCACAGAUGCAGAUGUGCAGAAAGUCAAGGACGCUGCUCUUAGGAAGAUGGCAACUGCAUUCAGAAAACACAAGAAAACUAUAUAGGCCAACUACGUCAAAGGAGGAAAGAAGACUCCAGAAUUCAAGGGAACACUGGAGAAGAAAAGAGAACACUGGCCUGCAUUCAUGAAAUUCAAGGAAUCAGAAUUAUCUAAGGAACGGUCGAGAAAAAACAAGGCCAAUGCCGCAAAAAAUGAGCAGUUCCAUAGGCUGGGGCCAGGUGGCUACGCAGUGGCAAUGCCUAAGUGGGAUAAGUUUGAGCUAGAGAUGCAGGUUGCACGGGUCACUCCAGUUACAUUGAGCUGGCACCCCAGGUGCAGAACUUGGUUCUAUGCGCAUGGGGGCGUUGGACCUGAAGACAGGCGAGGUUUCGAAGAAGGCGUGUCUUAAAGGAUCCAAAGAUAAGUUACUUGAAGAAAUAGAAGGUGCUCGAAAGGGGAUGUUCAUGCCCAACAGAUAGAGCGACGAGCUUACGUGCACCCUGGGAAAUCCUGAACACCCGGGAAGAACACGAGGCAAGGGCGUUAUUCCGUGGUAUGAGGGCUUUUCGGACUGGAAAGCCGACUACAGAAGCCGUGCUAGAAGGAAGAUGGAGGAGGAGAAGAAGAGGAAGCUGGAGGAGGAGCAGAGGAAGCAGGAAGUAGAACACCUUCAAGGCCUAGAAUCAGUGCACGCGGACUUGGCACUCAAAUUCCAGUGGCAGCAGCAGCAGAUCGACUCACUCAGCAAAGAAAGGGGGUCUCAGCAGUGGCAGCGGCUAGCGCAUGAUCCAACAUUGGAUAGCACCAUCCCAUCCAUGCCGAGAAGCAGCAUGGGUUCUGCCCCGGGCGACGCACUGCUGGCUAGAUACCCUGUGGAUGACAUCAUGGAGAACACUAACUGUGAGCUACACUUCAAAAUAAAGAACAUAUCAAUGAAGGUGGCGGACGCCGUUGCUUAUACAAAUUCCCCCGAAGCAACCUUCCAUUGCAACCCGAUUCUAGCCAGCUAUGCUCGUGUCGUGGUUGAUGAGGUGGUGGACCAAUAUUCGGGGCUAGAGCUUCACAUUCCUGGAGGUGACGAGGAGCACACACUGGGAGAUGCCAUACAUCGUAUCAUCCUAUGGAGAAAGGAUUGCAUCAUCUUUCGAAGGCCACCGACACCACAUCAACCGACUCCUCCUCGAAGUCCGCCACCGCGUCAGCAGACUCCCGCUCCUCCAAGUCCACCAACGUGUCAGGCCACUCCUCCUCCUCCAAGUCCGGCACAGCGUCAAGCCACUCCUCCUGCUUCAAGUCUGGCACAGCGUUAGGCCACUCCUCCUGCUUCAAGUCCACCACAGCGUCAGGCCACUCGUCUUGCUUCAAGUCCGACACCAAGCCAGGCCACUCCUCCUGCUCCAACUCAGCCACGUCAGCCGUCUCCGCCGCCUCAGCAAUCACGGAAGAGAGCCACCACAGCUAUGGUGCGUAGCGGUACAAGUCGAGGUAGUACAGGAGGUACAGGCGGAGGCAAGCGAUUUGAAUAUGGUCCAAGCCUCGCGCCUCUUCUGCUGAGGCCUUAUGACAUGACCGUGGAGCAAAACACAGCCAUAGUGAAGGCCCAAGUGGACGCCCAUUUUGGACCGAAACCGCCAGCGCUGCCAAGGGAGAACAUGCCUGAGGAUAAGAUUGACCACUUUAUUCGUAUGGCUCAAGCACCAGCUCCCAAGCCUCUUGACUCAGACUAUGAGCGCCAAAUCAGGAAGGCACAUCGAGCAUGAGUAAAGAAGGAGUCGAGCUCGAGCUCGAGCCAAGUAGCUGACAAAAAAUGCGGGAAAACCGUUGCCCAUCUAGGAGAACAGGCGGUGCAAUCGAUCCCCCCGCUUGUUGUACCAACACGUGAGAGUACUGGUGCCGGUCAGCUGGUAAUAACCGACGAGCAUAGAAGGCAGGCUGAAGAUCUCGGUAUCACUAUUGGAAAACUCCUAGAGAUCGAGCCCAUGGGUACGAUUAGAGAGGAGGACAUAAAAUGGAAAUAUGUCCGCGGUGAACCUAUGGUCAAGCCUGAGGAGGUCAAGAAGCUCCCAACGAAAAUGUAUGAAUUGAAUCAAUGGGUACAUGGAUAUUUACAAGACCCACAAUCGAGAGUCCCUUCAUGGUGAAAGUCAAGGAAGAGGAUUACUUCCAUGGGACAACUCUAUCUAUUGAGUAUACAGAACUGUUUUAGUUAUUCAAUCAAGACGCACUCGAUAAAUCUAUCAUCAGUUGCUAUUGUCUGUAAGUGAUUUCUUUCUGUAAUUUAAGUCUCAAGCUAGCUGUAGUGCUCUAGUUGAUCAUUACUUGUAAUUAUCGUCACUAUAUUCUUUUCUAUGGUAUUAUGCAGGAUGAAGAUGUACAAAAUGAGAAAAGGUGGACGCUAUGGCAUUGGGUUAAUUGACCCAAAUACCAUUAAUCAACAGACAUGGUCAUAUGCAUGGAAUAAAGAAGACGUAGAGAACAAAAUGCUAGAGUUCUUGAAGCGCCUCAAUACCAAUCGAGAAAUACUACUUCCUUACAACUUCCAGUGAGUCACACUGUCUUGUACUAAAAAUUAUGUUUUUGCUUACUAGCUAGAUGUUAAUAAGUGUAUAGGGUUUAGGGUUAGUUGAUGAGUGUUAUGCACAUGCCCGCUUAAUUUAUACAUGCAAACGUAUGCACAUGCAGGUUCCACUAGAUCUUGUUAAUCAUUAAAAUUGAUGAAGAAAUAGUUGAAGUACUGGACUCACUGCUUAAAGAACCUAAAGACUACUCAAUCUUGAAGGAGAUAGUCAACAGGUAAUUUCAAUCAUUAUUAAAUUAUAUUCCGCCUUUUUAGUUCGUCAUUUCCUGAUAUCAACUAAUUAAUAACUCCUUUGUUCAUUUUCUUUGCCGGCGGACAGGGCUUGGCAAAAGUUCAUCAAAGCGGUUCCAGGCCCGUUCAAAGAAAAGCUGCAUUGGUUUCGAUCCAAGGUAAGUAAUUUUAAGUAGUACUAGUUAGCUACCAUCUCUUUAAUUCUACUUUCAAUACCAUUAAUUAUCAUGCUUGAUUAAUUAGUAUCUGAUUGAAUUCUAUUCUCGUAAAGGCCAUGAAGCAGGCGCCGGGGACUGAUUUAUGUGCAUACUACAUUUGCGAGAACAUUCACAUGAUGGCAUCCGAAAGGACCAGAAAUGCUAGACAACGAUGGGUACGUUUGCCAGAACACUAUUCACAAUUUUUACAUCAUUAUCGAUAUCUAAUCGCACAACUAAUACAUGCAUAUUGAUCUCCUUCUUAAAAGUUCUCUGAGGUGCGGGAGAAGCUCCUACCAACGGAGCACGCACGAGCAAUUGGAGAGGAAAUAGCGGGAUUUUUGCUCGACCAGGUCAUAGAUCCCAAAGGAGAAUACCACCCGCUACCGCAGUAAUGCCUCCAUGUAGAAGAAAUUGUAUAUACCAAAUUGUAUAUAUACAUAUAUAUAUAUAUAUAUAUAUAUAUACAUGUGUAUGUGUGAAUGGUGGUGCGAGACAUUCCAUGAUAUAUAUAUAUAUAUAUAUAUAUAUAUAUAUAUAUAUAUAUAUAUAUAUAUAUGUAGGUAAAACUGUGUCUACCAUAGCUUGCCACAGAACUAGUUAAGUUUCCCUAAACUUCUAACGGUUCAAAAGUUAUCAAAAACUAUGAAAUAAAUAUGGGAGCAUCUUUUUAAUGUAAUAAGAUGAUCCAACGGAGGAAUUGUCAAAAUAUGCAUCUAUGUGUCCUCGACAAAAAUAAUAAGCAUUUCAGCUCACUGCGACAUAAAUAUAUACUGAACUAUUUGUUUUUUUGUCCAGGACACAUAUAGUCGUAUUUUUUUAAUCCCUCCGUUGGAUCAUGUUAUAUUAUAGGUGUGUUGGUUCAGUAUUUUUUUCAGAAUUUUUGAGAACUUUUGCACUAUUGAAACCCUUAACUAGUUCUGUGGCAAACACUUGUAGAAAAUCCUACUACAUCCUACCACUAUGGGGUAACUACCUCCAUCUUUACUCCCGUCCGAUCUCAUCAAGAGGUGGGUGUUGAUUUUCUUAAUGGGUUGCGGGUCUGAGGAAAACUAGUAUUUUUGGUGCCCGAUUCAUUCGUUGGCCGGCCUCUCUUCCGAUAUUCUUGGCCCUCCCGGUAUCUUUUUGUCUCUGCUGUAUAUAUAACAUAUCAGAUAAGGAUGUGCGUUCAAACAAAUCAGAUCUGGAUGGAAUCCAAAAUACUAAUCCCCUUUCUCUCUCUCUGUCCUCUCGCUCACGUUCCGAUGCAAUAACUGAAUCGAUGGUAACUGCCAAAAGAGACCGAGGUACGCAAUUACAUGAUUCUUUUCCAUCCAUGUGUCUUGCUAAUUGAUUUCUUCCUUCUGCUCUCUCUCUCUCUCUCUCUCUUGUGCUGCAGAAAACAACCGUAUUUGGUUAUACGCACCGCCGGUUGGAUUGGAGGCAUGCAUGGACGUUUGGAGGUAUUGACUGAUUAGAUAAGCAAGAUGCGUAGCUAAUUGCUAACUGGUGUCUUGGUUUAUGAUACUUUUGUUUUGUAAACUGCAGUCUAGGUGUGUCAACUACACAUUGUACGGCAAAAUGAUCAUGGUCGUCGGCAUCAGAAGAUGGAAGAUGGAGAUUUCCUCGGCAACGACCACGUACGGCGGCGCACGGCGAACUUGUGACUGCACCGGCAUGAGAAUUACAUAAGGAUGGGGUUCCUGCUUCAGUGCGGCGGGACAACGAGGUUUUACGCUGCCACAUGACGAUGACAGCUGGAACCAUGUUACUUGCACAACUGCAGAGAUGAAUACAUGAUCAUGCAUGGAUGGCGGACGUCCAUGAUUUAUGUCUGGCAUCACGUUCACAUGCAUCAUGUACGCACUACAUGUGGUACAUCAUACCAGAUGAAUCAAUUAAUAGUAUAUAAAUAAAGUUGCUCAUUUUUCGAAACAAAGUAUGUAAUAUUUCAUAGCCUUUUUUAGAACGGAUUGGCACACGGUCGCCAACCUAUACAUAGCUCAAGUUUGUAAGGCAUGCCGUCAAUUUAUUUUGUUCUCGCCGGGCCGGGCCGACCAUGGGUGUAUAUACGCCUUUUUAUGAUAUACUCCAUAACUUACAUUAUAUACUAGAUAUUUGAAACACUGUAUACUUCAUUAAAAGGAAAAUACUCCAUACUUUCUUACCAAAAUACAACAUAUACUACAUACUUUCUUAAAAGGAAAAUACUAUAUACUUCUUAUAAGAAAACAACAUACUACAUACUCCAUACUUUCUUAAAAAGAAAAUACUUCAUACUUUCCUCGCAGAAUACAACAUACUACACUCCAUACUUUCUUAAAUGGAGAAUACUACAUACUUUGUUAACAGAAUACAACAGACUACAUACACAUUACAUUCUUAUAAAAUUACUCCAUUCUGUAUACCACUCCUUUGAGUGUGCACAAAGUAAGAAUUGACCAUAUCACCAUAUAAUUCAUCCUUGCUGGUGGCAUAUAUGAUCAUACUCUCUUUUAUGACGUACUCCAUACUAUAUUGCUGCUACAAAUACAGUCCACUAUAUAUACUCUGUACUCUUAUUUUUAAACAUACAUACUAUUCAAAUAAAAAAUGCAGCCAUAUUCCAAGAAAGUAUGCCACCAGCAAAACUAUAUAGUAUUUUCCUUUUAAGAAAGUAUGUAGUAUGUAGUAUAAGCCUUGGUACAGUAGAAUUUUAGAAUUAUAUAAGCCUUGGUACAUGCCGCAUGGGAUUUUAGUAAGAGCAUGCCCGUUAGUACAAGUCAUCCACUCAGUUUGAUGCAUGCAUGCACGUAGUUAGCUAGCCCAACAUACUAUACUAUGUGUCAUACUAUACUAUACUACGUACAAUCAUUUUUGUAUAAAGUUCACACUCCAUACUACCUACUUCUAACAAAAACUACGAUCCAUGUAUAAAGUUUACAUACACUAUACUAUUCUGGCUACAUUUUCUUCCUCUGGGAAUAAUAGGCGUCACGUCCGCACAUGCUUAUCCAAUAAACUAUUUGAUCCAUGUAUGAAGCCUAGAUUUGAGGAAGUACUUGAACAACUUGCCGGAUUAUUUAAUAACAAAACUAAAUUAAUUGGUCCUAUUGGACUUCCAUAGAACCCGUUAACCGGAUCCAUCAAUCUAGUUGGCUUGGUGCUACAUGCAACGGUGUGGACACGUGGAGGGCAGCUAGCUAGGUGGUAACUACCACUGCUUGUAGAUAAAAUUUGUCAUAAUAUAUAUAUAUAUAUAUAUAUAUAUAUAUAUAUAUAUAUAUAUAUAUGAUCGGUUCUACGAGAAAUUCUAUUUAUAUAUAUAUGUGCAUAACGUGUACAAUAUGUAGUACCUAAAAUACCAACAAAUGAAAAAACAAUUAAAUGGAAAACACAAAAUUAAAAGAAAAAGAAAUCAUGAACCCAAAAUCCCCCAAAACUUCUAGUACCGGUUGGAGUUACGAACCGGUACUAAAGGUCUCCCCGCCCCCGGCACUGGCUCGUGCCACGUGGUGGCCCUUUAGCGGCGGUUCGUGCUGAACCGAUACUAAAGGGGGGGACCUUUAGUCCCCACCCUUUAGUGCCAGUUGCAGAACUGGUACUAAAGGGCCUUACGAACCGGUCUUAUAGCCUAGUUCUGCACUAGUGGAGGUUGACCACGGGGCCAUGUGCUAAGGCGUAUAUGAGGAUUUCGUCCGGACAUCCCUCUUCAGUGACUUAGUUAGAACUCGCUCUUUGAACCAACGCAAGAAAAUGGAGUUGUGCUCUCUAAUAACUUCGGUGUCCAUUUUGCACAGCCCAUCGGUGAUGGGGUUAUGUACCUAGGGUAGGGUCAUGGACCUGAUCCAAGUAACUUACCCCAGGACAUCCUUAGAAGAGGUCGCCUUCCAGUCGACCAACGAGGAUUCACUCGACUGGCCUGAAGAACUCGACCACGAAGACUCACUCGACCACCAGGAGGUCAAGAGGCACUCUGCACUGCAACGGCCUGUAAUCAAGUAGACUUUAUGAUAGUAAAGGCCUUUAUGUGGGGCGUUACCAGUAACGCCCCAGACUUAACUCACCUUAAACCCUCUCCUACGUGGGCUGGCUGGGGUCCUGGCGCACUCUAUAUAAGCCACCCCCCUCCACAGGCAGAGGGGUUCGGCACUUUGUAGUUCAUACACUCAUAAUCCACUCGACCGCCUCCGGGCUCCGAGACGUAGGGCUGUUACUUCUUCCGAGAAGGGCCUGAACUCGUACAUCCUUUGUGCUUACAACCUCUCCAUAGCUAGGACCUUGCCUCUCCAUACCUACCCCCCACUCUACUGUCAGGCUUAGAACCACGACAGUUGGCGCCCACCUUGGGGCGGGUGUUUUAGCGAUUUUGUGGAGAAGUUGCGAUUCUUCCGAGUACUUUCAUCAUGGUGUCUGCUGGAGUUUUGGUCGAGGGUCAAGAGAUCCGUCUCGGCACUCUCACCUUCAUCGCCAACGACUCCACAUGGCUCCAGGAGGCUCCACUCGACGUAGAUGCGCUCCCCGUCCGCGGUGCGACGCAUUUUCGUGCAUGUGUCCGCGGCGUUCUGCUGCGGCAACCGUCGACCCAGUAUCGGUCGGCUCCUCCAUCGUCCACCCUCCCGGUCUCCCGCCAGCGCAAGCGCUCAGGCCGGUCGAGGCUUCAGCGAUGGGUGAGUCACGCGGUGGCUCGCCAAUCGGCCACUACCCAAGUUGCGGCAAUCGAGCCCAACGAAUCUCUCUACGGCUUGUUCGAUCAGUCGACUGGCUCCGUAGAGACUGCAUCCGAGUGCGGAAGCAGUGAUCCAGCGGCGGAAAUCUUGAUGGUCGACGGGCCCCACAGCCCUCCUGGCUUCGCCCGUGGUGGUGGAGCAGGUGACGGCGGCGACCCUGCACGAGGCUACGAAGAGUACCAGCCCGAGCCACUCGACUCUCUGCAAAGAGAGGAACUUCGCCGCAGGAACGAGGAUCCCCUGCGUAUUCCCAUCGCAGGAGAAACCCCCGAGGAUCGUGCCUUGGAGGAGGCGCGUCUGGCCAAUUUGGCCGAGCGCACUCGACUGGAGAACCUUCAGCGAGCACUCGACGAGCGCGCGCGGCAACGAGUUCCCGACACCAGUCGACGUCCACUCUUCCCGCCGACUCAGGUAUAUCGAACCCCAAUUCAGAAUUUAGCAGCUGCGGCCCGUAUAGCAGAGUCCAUCCAGCCUUCGCAGUCGGAAGCUGGCAGAGGUUUGCUGCAGAUCAGGGAUCUGCUCCGGGCAGCAGGAGAUCAGAAUUCAGCCGUGUCUCAGUCGCGCAACAGAAUUCACAGUCGAUCCGUCACUGUGAAUACGGUUCAGUCGGCUCACAGCCCCAGAUCGCCUCCGCGGCGCGAAGGGCGUGAGAAUCGGCGAGAUCAAUAUGGCGACAGACUCGACCGAGAUGAUAGGCGUCGAGUGCCCUAUUCCCCUCCGAGGGGUGGGUCUUACGCUCCUCGGCAGCCAGAUGAUAGGCGUCAGUACAGUACAGGGCGUAGGGUUCCAGUUGACCCCAGAGAGCCAGGCUUCGACGCGCGAUCCAUUAUCAUGCAAGGGUUGGUCGACCGGAACAGAGCCCAUCGAGGCGCACUCGACAGAGAUGUACCCACAAGCAGUCGAGUACAUGUUUCUGGUCCUGAAUGUUUCAGCAGAGCUAUCAGAGCCGCAAUUAUCCCCCCCAAUUUCAGGUUGGCAACAGGAGUCAGCAAGUUCACUGGUGAGUCUAAGCCUGAAACUUGGCUUGAAGACUACCGAGUGGCAGUUCAGAUUGGUGGUGGGAACGACGAGGUGGCCAUAAAGCAUUUAUCCCUCAUGUUGGAAGGUUCUGCCAGGGCAUGGUUGACUCAAUUACCUCCUAGCAGCAUUUACACUUGGGAAGAUCUGUCCCGAGUGUUCAUCAGAACGUUUAAAGGGACUUGCAAGCGACCAGCUGGAUUGACAGAGUUGCAAGUCUGCGUGCAGAAAACUAAUGAGACUCUCAGAGAGUAUAUUCAGAGGUGGAUCACUUUGCACCACACUGUAGAGAAUGUGUCCGAUCAUCAAGCAGUCUGCGCCUUCAAAGAUGGUGUCAAGAACAGAGAACUGAGUUUGAAAUUUGGUCGAACCGGUGACAUGACCUUGAGUCGGAUGAUGGAGAUUGCUACCAAGUACGCCAACGGUGAAGAAGAAGACCGACUCCGAAGCGGCAAGCACAAGCCGAGUCAGUCGGAAAAAGGAAACACCAGUCGGAAACAGAAGCGGAAGGCUGAACCGGCAGCUCCUGGAGAGGCUCUGGCCGUGACUCAAGGAAAGUUUAAGGGGAAACCAAAAGGAUCCUGGAACCCCAAGAAGGUAAAGGAUAAAGAAGGGAACGACGUGAUGGACAUGCCAUGUCACAUUCACACGAAGAAAGACGAAGAGGGGAAUAUCAUUUACCCAAAGCACACCACUCGCCAAUGUCGACUCCUGAUCCAGCAGUUUCAGGGGAAACAGUCUAAGGACAAGGAGAAGGAGUCGGACAAGGCCGAAGACAAAGAGGACAGUGAGGGAGGAUAUCCGCAUAUCAACUCCACUCUGAUGAUCUUUGCAGAUGUGGAAAGCAGAAGUCGACUGAAAGUGAUUAACCGAGAGGUGAACAUGGUUGCCCCAGCAAAGGCAAAUUAUAUGAAGUGGUCUCAAACACCCAUCACAUUCGACCAAUCUGAUCACCCGACUCAUAUUGCCACCCCUGGGAGGCAAGCUUUGGUGGUCGAUCCAGUUGUCGAAGGCACUCGACUGACAAAGGUGCUGAUGGAUGGUGGAAGUGGGCUGAACUUAUUGUAUGCUGACACAUUCAAAGGUAUGGGCAUUCCGAUGUCCCGACUGAGCACUAGUAACAUGAGCUUCCAUGGAGUUAUACCAGGGAAGAAGGCCGAGUCACUCGGCCAGAUAGCUUUGGACGUGGUGUUUGGUGAUUCGAAGCAUUUUCGCAAAGAAAAGUUGACGUUUGAGGUCGUGGAUUUUCAGAGUGCAUAUCAUGCCAUUUUGGGGAGACCAGCCUAUGCACGGUUCAUGGCUCGACCAUGUUACGUGUACCUCAAAUUGAAGAUGCCCGGUCCCAAAGGUGUGAUCACUGUCACCGGUGAUAGGAAAAAGGCAGAAGAGUGCUUUCAGAAGGGCUCCAAGAUUGCCGAUUCCCAGGUGACAGCAGUCGACUUCGAAGAAUACAAGCAAAACGCAGAUCUGAGUGACUUGCUGCGAUCCAAGAAGCCCGCCACAGAGUCUGCAUUCCAGUCGUCCGGUGAGACGAAGCCUGUUCACAUUCACCCGACCGACCCCGAAGCAGCUCCGACCCGCAUCUCCACGACACUCGACCCAAAAUAGGAAGAAGCGCUCAUCCAGUUCCUCCGUGAGAACUGGGACAUUUUUGCAU